RNAcentral lists this long non-coding RNA (52582 nucleotides) under Populus tremula. RNAcentral describes it as "long non-coding RNA (PTRE_LNC000814)". Lineage: Eukaryota; Viridiplantae; Streptophyta; Magnoliopsida; Malpighiales; Salicaceae. The record is from RNAcentral.
AUACAAUAGAAGAACCGUUUAGUGUCCCGCUAUGGAACCUUCUGCCCGCAAUGUCGACAGAGGAGUCUUCACUGUCAGGGCUAUAGAGUCCGGAGUCUUUCAGAGCCCUUUCGUUGACAUCAGAGGUAAAAACUAGCCCUAAGCGGAGGUGUGCGACUUUGCAAUUGCUUUUCUCGAUCUCAGCAAUGGAGUCUAUCAAACUCGCUUGCAUGGACUGCUGUGGCAUAACCAGCAGCAGCCCAAGCAACAGCAGUGCUGCCAAAUUGACUCUAGACAUUCUAUGGAGCUCAAGUGUUAAAGUGAAGUGACAAUGCUUUAGAUAAUUAAAUGCAACUGCUUUGUGGAAUGAUGGUAUUUGGGUGCUCCUCAUGUGCCUUUAUAUAGAAAUCGACCAUAGCUUCUUCUUUUUUUAACGCAAUUACAUAAAUGCCCUGUGUUGUUAUAAUUGACGACGUUGAAUAUCUCGAUGCCUCUCUCAUAGCAAUUUUUUUAUAUAUAAUUUUUUUUUAUUAAUUUAGUUUGUGUACCAUUUGCCGAUUACAAACCCUAAAUUUAAUAAUUAUAUAAAUUUUUAAUAAUUUUAAAAUUUAUAAGAUUAAAAUUGAUAACCUCUACUAAAAAAACUCUUAUUAGUUAAAUUACCAUCCUUAAAGUUAAUAACUUAAAUUUUUUAUAUAUAUAAAUGAUUAGUAUAUGUUGUUGUACUAUUAAAAAAAAAAUUUGAGAAAAAAGUUGCUAAAUUAAGUUCAAGAAAAUUAAUGCAAUUUUUCAGUUAAAUUAGUUCAAGCAUAAAAAAAUUUAAAUAAUUUAUUAAAGGAUCCUAGAACCCAAAUUAGUUUACAACAUCACAAACGGAUUGAAAGUAAGAAUGAGUAGUGUUAAUGAACAUUUUUCAUAUUUAUUAAAAAUCAAAAACAAUAAAAAAAUUUAAAAACUGCUCACCAAACUUUUUUUUUAUGAAACACAAAUUCAAUUAUUAAAUUUAAUAUGACAUUAAAAUCUUGAUGAUUAAAUGAUUAUGAUUUCAAAUCUUAUUAGCCUUAUUUUUUAAUUAAAUUAAAAAUUUAAUAUAAAAUAAAUUUAUAUAAGUUUUAUUUUAUCUAGCUUGUUUGGCUUAUAAUAAAAGAGAAAAAAGGUCCGUGGUCGAAAGAAAAAGAAUUUGAAAACUGCAAUAAAAAAUAGUUUCUUUUUUAGCUUUAACCUUUUGGAGAUUUUUUCAUAUCCUGAGAGUUGUCAUCACAAUUAAUGAAGAAAAAAACAAAACCGUCACUGGGCCCAAAAUAAUUUUGCAUCGUUAGUACAUCUAAAGCAGUAUUUGGAUUUGAACAAUCGUACACACAUUAUCCAUAAUUUCUCCAUACAAAAUUAAAAAAUUAAAACAACAUAAAAAACAAAAUAUACAACGACAGCACAUCACUUAAACAAAAGAACUUUCAAAUUUUAAAUCAUAUCCUUUAAUUGGUUAGGUACUAUUUUACUUUUUAAAAAUUAUUAAUUUAAAUUUUAUAAAUUUUAAAAUUAAUAAAGAUAUACAUAAUUAUUAAUUUUAAAACUUUUAAAAUUAAUUAAAAUAUAUACAAUGACCUGGAUAAUCAUAUUAAAAAAAAAAAACUAGAUCCAUCAUUAUUUAAACUAAACGUAAUAAAUAUCCUUUAAAUUGCCUCAUAUAAGCCAUGCCAUGUUAUGAAUUAAUACUAUUUAGCAUUAUAUAUUAUUUUUAAAUAAAAUAUAUAAGUGAUAAAUUAAAGUUUCAGAAUAUGUAAGUAUAUUUUAGAUGAAUGAUAAUGCAAAAUUAAAAUUAAGAAAAGGGUCUCUAGCCUAAUUUAAAAAUAUUAACAUAGACUAGAAGACGUUUUCUUUUUGAUAAUUUACUGAACAGUUAAUAAAUUAUGACAAGAAGUAUAUAUUUUAUAAAAUUUUAUUAUGAUUUAUAUUUGAAAAUAUUUGAUUUAUCUUACACUAAAAGACCAUCAUAUCUAAUAAAAAAGUAUAUGAUCAAGGGUUGUUGAAGAGAGAGGGAGGGAAGAAGAACGUGAGGGAAAAUAAUAGGGUUUGCCGCUGGUGAAAACCAAUAGCGAGGAAGGGUUGGUAAAGAGGAAAAAAAAGAGAGAUAAAUUCAUCUAAGUCAAACUUUAAAUUAGCGUGAUUAUUUUUAAUUUUAAUUUAUUUUUAUAAAAAAAAUAACUAAAUAGAAAUAAAUAAAUAAACAAAACCAAACCGAAACCAGUUUAAACCGACCGGUUUUGGUUUUUUUUUUUAGACAAAAACCAGUUGGCUCGGUUUUUUUGGUUUGGCUCAGUUUUUUUUUAUUUGACUCGGUUUUUUCAAUUUGGCUCGGUUUUGGCUCUGUUUUCCCGGUUUGGCUUGGUUUUUUCAGUUUGGGUUUGGUUCGGUUCGGUUUUUUUGGUUGCAGACUUAUAAAAUCGAAACCGAACCGGUCGUUUUUUAAAAUUUUAAUCGGCUUAAUUUGUUUUUUUUACAGUUCGGUUUUUUCAGUUAUUUUUUUUCAAUUUUUUCGCUUUAAUCAGUUUUUCGGUUUUUUUACUCACCCCUACUUUAAAUACAAGUUUCUGCAACUAGUUAAUGUUCUUGUAAUUGCCAAUACAAUAAAUUUUUUAAAAAAAACAAAAUAAAUAGUGCUUUUAAAAUAUGCACUCUAUAAUUUUUUUUAAAAAUAAUCAUUUGAAACUAAUGAAUUAUAUAUUACUAUAGAUAUGUCUAUCUUAAUCCAAUAUUAAAUAGGAUUUGAUGCCCCUCAAGUUAAUGCUAGCAUAAUAUUUAAUUUUAGUUAAAUCCUAACCCUUAGAUUGUUAAUUGAUGGCCAGGAGCAUUACAUAUAAUUAUACUACUCGUAAAAAAUAAAAUGAAAUUCCUAAUUUGAUCACAUUUUAUACAUGGUAGAUCAUGAAAAACUUUACCUUUAUAUAUACCUAAGCUCAUUUUAUAAAUGUUAAGAACAAUUAAUUUCCAAAUCGAUCCAAAGUCUCAUAAUAACUCUAGUUUUGAACAAAAAUAGGAUUUAUCAUAUAACAUAUUUCUUGUGAAUGGAAAAGUAUUCUUUUGUUAUUUUUCAGAUCCAUUAAAUCAAAAAGCAAUAAAACGAAAAUGAAAUCUUAGAUUGAGCUAGCUUGCAGUAAAUAGUAUUAAGAUUUUGAUUAGUUGGGACAAAAAAGAGUUCAACAAAAUUCAUGUACCUAUCUAUUUUUUUUUUUAAUUAUUGAAUACUUUAUCUAUCUAUUUUUUAUUAUUGAUUAGGGUUAACAUUUUAUUAGAAUUUAUUUUCUAAUAAAAUGUUUUUUAUAAUGGAAUAUCAAUAUUAUGGUUAAAAUAAAUUAUGAGUCAAUGAAAAAUUAAUUUUAAAAAAUCUUGUUUGAAAAACCUAAAACUUUUUAUCUUAUAUGAAAAGAAAGAUUUUCUUUAGUUUAGAUAAUAGAAUGAUGAAUUAUUAAAAUUAAACCUCGGGAGGACCAAAUUUUAUAGAGAAAAAUAGUCUAAAUAAAAUGAGCUGCUAGGGCCAAAGCUAGGCUUGACUUGGGUUUGUAUAUACUAUUAAAAACGUUAUUAAUAUAAUUGUGCAUGCUUAUAAAUCUUUUGUUUGUUAAUUUGUUUAGCAUUCUAUAGGUGCUAAACAAUUUUUUUAUUUGUUUCAUACAUGCUUUUGAGAAGCCAAAAAAUUUUAUUUAUAAUUUUUUGAUGCUAGUGUCCAAAUAAAAAAUAUUGUCUUGAUUAAUGUUGCUUUGACAAUUACUAUUUUGAUUAGAAGGAUUCUACAAUCAACUUCUUUGGUGCAUGCUGAAAAAUAUGAAAAGUUUAAGAGCUAGUAGCAAAAAAUGAUAUUCUAUCUAACCAUUGUGAACUUAUCAAAGUUCUUGACUAAAUAAAUGUCAAAACUAUUAGAUAAUGAAUAUAAUCCCACCAUUGUGGUAAGUGUUGAUGCUUGGAAUCAUAACUAUUUUGUAUGCAAAAAAUAUAUGUUGAAUGGAUUAGAUAAUGCAUUAUAUAAUAUGUAUAUUUAAAUCAAGAGUGUAAAAAUAUUAUAAGAAGCUUUGGAUAAAAAAUACAAGGUUGUUGAUGCUGUUAUGAAAACAUUCAUAGUAAAAAAAUCUUUUAGAUUUUAAGAUAGUUUAUUAAAGGACCAUUAUAAGCAAAGUUUCAAAGUUUCAAAUCAUCUUCCAUGAUAUUCUUGUUGAAGAUAUGGUUAUAAGUGCGUCUUUUCAAGCAGUUGUAAUUAUUGAAAAGUUGUAAUAUAUUGAAAAGAUUUCAAGAAUAACAUUAAGUAUAAGCUAAAAAAAUAAGAGUUGAAGACUUUAUCUUGAUAUUAAGAAUAGAAUAGAAAAAUAAAUGGCCCAAAAGAUAAGCCAACUCUUAUGGUAUGACCCCUAAAGGAAACAUUGUAGAACAAGUGGCAAAGUCCAACAAAAAAAAAUAAAAGAAAAAUCUUGUUGUAAAGAGAAAAUAAAUUGCCAAGAAGUUCAGUGGUAAAUUCUUCAUCUACAACAAGAUUGAACAUUUGGCUAAGGAUUACAAAAAUAAAGCUCAACAAGGGAACCCUAGAAAGAGAAGGACUACUCAAGCUAAUAUCAUUGAGGUUGAUCACCUCAUUAAUGAAGUUUUGAAAAUGAAGUCAACCAAAUCAAGAAUUUCAAGCGGUGAUGGAUUGAUAUUGGUGUAACAUGACAUUUAUGCACCAAGAAUAUGAUAUUUUUCAAUUAAAAAUAAGUGGAUGGUGAACACUUGGACAUGAAUAAUUUAUCAACUCUCAAUAUACUAGGUAGAGAACUAUAUGAAUAUUGUUGUCUUGAUUUAUAUAAAAAACUAAAUAGUUCAAGAUAUUGUAUUCACUAUUUAGACAACUACAUUAGAUAGUAUUUUACUAAGAAAUGUUCAUAGCCAAAAUCUACUUAUCAUAAGUAACGACCCUGCAAAUUAGUAUUUCCUAUGAAUCUUUUAUUGGCAUGUUUUAGAAAACCUAAAACCCUCUAUCAAAUAUAGAAAAGAAGCAAGGUUUUCUUGUAGUUUAUAUAGUGGGAAGAUAAAGAGUUAGAAUUAGUCCCAAAUGGCACAAAAGCUUUUAGAAAAAAGAGAUAAGAAAAGUGAGCUUUGAGUUUAAGUCAUACAAGCAUGCUCACUCGGAUCAGCUCGCACUUGAGCCUUAAGCUAGGCUUUGGCUUGGGUUUAUGUAGAACCUUUUUUUUUUUUACUACAAAAAAUUAUUUUUUCCAAUCUAUUUUUAGCUUGGGUUUGUGUUUGUUUUUAUUUGACCUAUAAAGAAUUAUUUUUUGCCAGCCCAUUAGGUUUUCUAGCCUAUAGUUUUUCUAGCCUAUAAAUAAAGAGUCUGAACAAUUUCUUUAAACUAGAUAAUUUUUUUCAUCCUAGAUAAUUUUUAUUCAAAAACAAAAUCAAUUUUAAAGCAAAACAUUUCAAGUUUAAUUCUAGUUUAUAGCAAGUAAUUAAGUCUAAUAAUGGUGAAAAUUAAUUUUGGUAAUUAAUAAAACUAAUUUUUUUUUAUCAAUUUUGGUUCCAAAUUCUUCUAUAAAAAGGAAAUAAAGAAAGUGUAUUUAUGGACAAACUUUUUAUAGAUUUUUUUUUACUCUUUUUCCUUUUUUCCAUUUUAUUCUCCUUUGUUUUAAGCUCAAAUUUGUUUUAUUUUUUCACAUUCUUUUAAACGUAAGUUUUGUCUUGGUAAAGAGAUAUUUUAGUAAAAUCUCUUUAAGUUCAUGGACUUUGUUUAGAAAUAAAACUAAAUAAGAUGAUGUUAUUAAAAUCGUAGAAGACUUGUUGAGAUUAGUCCAUCUGAACCAAGAAAUGAAGAAAUGAGAAAUACAUUCUCGAGAACAAAUAAUUGAUCAUUGACAACAAAAUAUUUAGCUUAAUUAAUUUUUAAUUACUUCAACAAGUAUAUAUAUAUAUAUAUAUAUAUUUGUUUAAAUACAAAAUUCAAUAUAUAUUUACUAUGCAUGCUAGGAUUUUUUUUUAAUAUCUUAUGUAAGUUUCAUUAUAUAUUUAGUAUGCAUGCUAGCAUUUUAUUUUAAUUGCAAGUUUACAUUGAUUAUAUAAAUUUCAUGCAUAUAGAUUAAACUUUUAUGAUCAUCAGUCUAAUCUUUGAAAAAAAACAUAAAGAGCACAUAAAAUCACACAGGAUAAUAACUUUUUUUUUAAGAGAGAGAGAGAUAGAUGUAAAUUUUUCUAUUUUAUAUAUUAAAGAAGUAAAUUAAUUAAGGUCAAAGAAAAUCAUCUAAUAAAAUCAAUAUCUUUUCGUUUUAGUUUGAAAAUAAGCUAAUAAAGUCAUGUGUGGCAAAGUUGAAGGGAGCUCAAACCAUAUAAAAUAAAAUCAUUUUUUUAGAGAUAUAUAUUUAUGGUGCAUGUAUAUCAAUUUGGCCAUAUAUUUAAUAAAUAUGAGUAAAAUUCAAUAAUGUCGGUCAUGUAAGAAAAAAUAUUGUGUUAUAUAAGAUUGAAGUUGAAACAAUCUAUUAAUUCAUUGAAAAAAGAAAUAUUAACAAAACAGGGUUUUAGACAAAAUGCUUUAGGAGUAGCAUUUUUUUUUUUUAAUGAUGUUUUUUAAUAAUCCCAAAUCUAUGUUUCUGGAAUCAAGAGCUAGAGCUGGUCUUCGAAAUUAACGAUUUAUAGGUAGCCUCGCAUCACCCUUUGGGGUUUGGAUAAGCCAACAUCGUGCAUCCUCUUAUAAACAAUGAAGUUAUAUAGUAAUAAAGUUCAUUUACUAUAUAUAAUUGAUGUGCGAAUCUCUAUGCUCAAGAAAAAUCAUGUGGGAUUCUAGUGGAAAUCAAUUCUAAGCAACAGCCUAUGGAUGUGAUUAUUAGAUGUCACAAUAUCUUUCAUAAGAGAUAAUUAUCAUUUUCUAUAUAUAUAUAUAUAUAUAUUAUAUAUAUAAAAGUGCACCAUUCCAAAAGUUUUUUUUAGUUUAAAGUAGGUGUCCGGGCCAGUUUGCGGGCACCUCGAUAAAUUUCAUGUACCCUGAAGUUAACAACCAUGUAAGUCUCCAGUGGUCAUCAUAUAAACAACCCAGGACUCGAACCUGAAACCACAAAAAAAACAAAUCUUUUUGUCUCAAAUUUUUAUUCUUAGACCAUCAUCUAAAUGGUUUUUUUUUUUUUAACAUGAGAAAAUACGUGCUUACAGUGUGCUCUUUUUUUAUGAAGAUUAUCAAGGACAAAAAAAAAAUAAAAUUCAUUGAACUAAUUUUUUUCUUAAAAAUCCCAAGAAUCGAUAUAAAUUUUUUGUCGGCCACCCAUUAAUUUGUCUGUCUGGAAAUUAGUGAUAUAUAUUGUCGGAGAUCAUUCAGUCAGUAAUCCCUGACAAAGACUCCGAAACAUUUUAGAACCGCAAAACGAAGAAACGAAAAAACUGAGAGUAAAUGUAGGAUAUGAUCAUGGGACGUCUAGUCAUGGCAUCGCGACAGCAACCCCUCGAUAUUGACUCCUUAUCCGUUUUACUACUGGUUGCUACUUGCUAGGGAGCCAAGGAUAAAAACUCUGCAACUUCAAAAGCUUAUUAGCUCAGUUUUUAAAUUUAUCUUUUAAUAUUUAUAUUUGUAAGAUUAGUUGAAUGGUAUAUAAACUAGAUAUUCAUAUUAAUUUUUUUAUAAAAAAAAAACUCUGCCAAAGCUUGUUGUAUAUGACUACUUAUUUUAAAACAAUAAUUUUGAACUUCUACAAUAACAUAUCCACACAAAAAGAAAAACAAGUGAUUUCUUAGCAUGAUUAAACUUUUCUAAUUUUUUUAAAAAACAAAACAAAUACCUCGAUUCUGCAUGGGAAACUAAGUUUUGUACUAAAAAAAUCAUCCCAAAUCAGUUUAAAAUAUCAAAUAAAUAAACCUGAAUUAUAGUUUAAAAUCAUUCCCAAAUCAGAUAUCAUCGACGACGAGUUUUCUCUCUUCAUCCUACGUGGGAUCCCAUGAAAAUAAUAUCUUCAACCAUAUUCACUCUGAGCAAGUAAAUAUAUAAACUUAAGAUUAUCCAUCCAGCUCUCUUCUCACCAUUCAUAGGCCGCUCACGAGAUUCCAUUUCUAUCCAUUACAGUAAUCGAAACCUGAAAACCACCUCCUUAUGCUCCACGUGGUUUGGAAUGUCAUAAAUAUUUGUACUUUGAAGCAGAUAGAAAGAGACAUUACAAUCAAAACAAGCUGCCAAAAACCCUGAGGCCCCUCAGCAUGUCCUUGGUGGCCCAUUCUUUCAUUCUUUGGCGCAUACAAUAUAAGCGUUAAGAUAAUGGAUAGUGUUGUCAUUUUUAGGUUAUGUGUACAACCCGCUUAGGCAACAAAAUAUGGUCUUUUAAGGUGUUUUAAAAAUCAUAUCAUCAAGUUGUUUUCAAAAAGCUCUGACAUGUCCUUGAUGGCCCAUUUUUUCAUUCUUUUUUCUCUUUUUUUCUCUUUUUAUCCUUUCUCUUCUCUUAUGACAUAUCAAUAUUAUAAUGAAUAUUUCAGCCCCAUUGAUUAGUAAUUAAAAAUGUAUUUUUAUCGAGAUUUUAUAUCAUCAUUUUACACUUGAAGUAUCAAUAACUCCUUAACUAAAAACAUGUUUUAUAAUAACAUAUCUAAUAAUAUAAGAUACCUUUAAUUUAUGGUAAAUGUUCAUCUUAAAUUCAGUCCUAUCACAUAAAUGAAAGUUUUGAUUGAUGAGUUUAAAUAUUAAAAUUGAAAGGACAAAAAGAGGGCCAAACUUAGAAAAGAGAUGUUGGUUUAGUCCAAACUGGAACAUUGUUCGAUAAUUAGGUCAUAUCUAGAGUUGUAGAUCUCGGAUUUAGGUCUGCUUUAUAUGGAUGGAAAGCUAAGACAUAAGCCUAAAAUUUUAAUGAAAGUCCAAGAUUUAAAAAGGUUGUUUUCAAGUCCAAAUUAUAGCAACAACGAAGAAGUCUGAAUCUGUCCUGCAACCUAGACAUUGUUUAGUGUUCAGCCCAUAUCUCGAGUUCUAGAAGUCCAAAUGACCUCAAUUUUUUUUUUUUAGAAAGCUGAGACAAUUUCCUAGAACUUUCAUGGUAAGGUUGGUUCAAAUUCUGAUGUUAUUAAUGAUGUUUUGUUCAGACAAGAAGAUAAGAAUUGUCACCAAGUCAACAUAUGGCCACCCACUUAACAAUUAGUCAUCAAAUCAAUAGUUCCAAAUUUUGGCCUAUAAAAGAAGGUAUUUGCCAUGCAUUUAGGCAUCUUGGUUGUUCAGAUCAAGAUUAUAUUUUAUUUCUCUCUUUAUAUUUUUGUAAUGCUUAAGUUUUGCUUUCAUUAAUUCUUGUUUAUACUUUCAUUUCCUUUCCUUUACUUAGUUAACUUGUAUCUUAUUUAUAUUCUUAUUUUGUUUAUUUAUGUUUCUCUUCUUUAUUAUGUUUAGCUAAGUUUAUUAUGUCAAGGUGAAAAUGUUACACUAAUGGUGUAAGAAUAAGUAUAAUAUAAACUCAAUAUGGACUUCAAUGCUUAUAUCGUAAACAAUUUGCUAUUAACAUGUCUUAUCAUUUUUAUCUUAUUAAUUCUUAAUACCUUGCUUGUUAAAUGGUUAAUUUAGAUUUGUGUUGUAUAACACUUGGUACAACAAAUGCUUGGCACUUUCAUAGCCCAACCGUAUGGUAUAACCUACACUUGUGCUAUGAAAGGAACUUGAUUUGUUGUUAACAUAAGUAAGCAUCAUGAAUUCCUAACAAUAUUUAAAAGUUUGAUGUUACUUAAAUAAGAUAAUUAAUAUGAUCAUGUUAACAAUUUAUAAUGUGCUAUUAGUGACAAAUCAUCCGAUUGGAACCUUCUUUGUGUGUGGUUUCUAGUUAAGUAAUAAAAAUAGUUUAUAUUAUACUUGUUUGAAAUACCAUUAGUGGAUCCUCUAACCUCGACAUUUAAUUUUAUCAUUGUUUAAUCCUCACAUUAAUCAAACAUCUCAAAGUCCUCUUUAACUUAUUAUUAUUAUUAUUAUUUAUAAUUUAUAUAGUUAACCUCACUGUGGUUGGACCCCGGUCUUGCCGAAUUAUUUAUUACUUCGAUAUUUCUACACUUGAAAGAAGACAUCAAUCUUUUGAUCGUGUCACUCAUUUCCUUCUUUUCAUGUAUGUGUAUAUAAAGGUAGGCAAAUGUGUUUUUACAUGGGUGAAAGUAGGGGGUGAGAUGUUUCAUACAAUUGUUUUUAUUUUAGUCUAUUUGGGACAUGGGCCAAAUGGAAUUUUUUUUUUAUGUCAGCUUGUUUAGGUCAUAGCCUAAACAUAUAUAUUUUUUAAUGUGCACAUCAUAUACUCCACUAAGUCUUUCAGAUGGACAUGUUUAAAAGACUUAACUAGUAAAAGUGGAGGAAGAAAAUACUUAAGAUAUAAAUUUUACCUAAUGUGGAUAAGAGAAUGUUACCAUGUUAGACAUUUGAAUGUUUACCUAUUUGUGUCUUACGAAGUGUCUGCAUGAAAGCUUUCUUCAUGUAAAUUUUUGAUAAUAUUAUUUUGAAAAGGAUCUUUAAUCCUUUUAGAGAUUAGUAAUCGUGGAGACCUGAAUAAGGAUCCUUAAUCAUUUGGGAGACAUUCGAGACAUAUAAAGAGAUUUAAUUAAGAUAUAUUUAAAGAUAUAAAGACUUGGCGUGUGAGAUUUUUCAUAGAGACAUGUAUGGAGAUAAAAUAUCUCGCUGUAAAGAUUUUCAUAGAGAUAUAUUUAGAGAUUUUAAUGUAGAUUUUUUUUAGAGACAUUGGAGAUAUGAAGAAAACUCAUUGUUUUUAUUAAAGAUUUGAAAAGAUGGAGAUAUAAUUCCUAGAGCUAAUUCGAGGACUAUUUAACCUAAGGUAAAUCAUCAAGUGUGCAAACUUUUGUCCUUUUAUUUUGAGGUUUUGUUUCCUUUUUCAUGAACAGGUGAAAAUAACCUUUGAUCAUCAAUUUUUCUAUCUUUGUUUUCAAGGCAUGACAUUCUUUAGUAUCAUGCCCAUGAUCAUGAUAUAAAAAAAAAGAGUUAAAUUUAUUAGUGUUCCUUGUGUUUGCAUAAUUUUUAAUGGGAUAAGGAUAUUGUAUAAAUUAUUUCCCUCCAUUAACAGCUGACAUUUCAGUCUGUGUGCUGGUUAGAGAGGUAGUCAAGAGCUUAAAGAAUGUCAAACGAUAAUAAAUGUGUCAUUUGGUGCUCAUUUUAGAUAAUCUAGUUAGAAACUAAUGAUGUUGAGUAUACUAUUUACAUUGACUUCUUCCAUCCUAAUAGAAUUUUUCAUUCACUAUUUAAUCAAAGUUAUAAAGCAUAUUAAUCAAAGAUUCUCUGAAAAAUAGAUUUAACGAGUCUUUCCACGUUGAAUAUUUCCUCUUUUGACAUUUGGAGAUAGGUCAUAGUGCUCACAUCUUCUCUAUAUAUGAUAGAGAAGAUUUCAAUGGUGUUAUUUUUAGUAUUUAUAUGAUACCAUACACAAGCAUAUCCAUGUUGCGUUGUUUGAAAAACUUUACACGAUGCAUCAUUAUUUUAUAUGACAAGCUCUAUGAUACUUCUCAUAUAUGUAUUCUUAAUAUCCUGAGCUUGUUGAGAUUUUCCCAUACAAUUGAUUGAGUCAUUUUUCUUUGUAUUAUGCUUAACUUUCAUUCUUAUACGUGUCAUGGAAAUUAUGGUGUAGUUGCACUUUCAUUUUGUAACAUAUAAUAAGAUCUAGCACACUACUAAAAAAUAUGGUAAUUAGCAACGGACUAUUCCGUUGCAAAUACAACUGAAAUCCGUUGCUAAAACAAUUUAGCAACGGAAUCAGCAACGGCACAAAUCAGAUGCAGAUUUGUCGUUGCUGAUUUGUUUGCAACGGAUAAAUCCGUUGCUGAUUUCGCAGCAACGGAAAAUCCGUUGCUUAUAAAAAGCAACGGAUAAUCCGUUGCUAGUUUGACGAAUCAGCAACGGAGAAUCCGUUGUUGAUUCAUGCAUCAGCAACGGACUCUCCGUUGCUGAUGCACGCUGAUGCCUGCAUCAGUUGCAAUCACCAACGGAGAAUCCGUUGGUGAUUGUAUUAUUAUAUUUUUAUUAAAUUAAUUUUUAUUUAUUUAUUAAAAUGAUUUUUAAUUUAAUUUUAAAAUGAUUUUUAAUUUAAUUAUUAAAAUGAUUUUUAAUUUAUUUAUUUAUUUAUGGGUAGUUUACAAAUUGUAGAAUAUAUAUAACCAACAUAAAUUAAUAUUAACAAUAAUUAAUAAAAAAUAGAAUAAAAAUAAUAUUCAUAUUAUAAAAAUUUAGUUAAACUUGCAUUAAUACAAUUAAGUUCAAAUACAAAAAAAACAACAAAAGAUACAAUCAUGGUUCUGGUUGCGAAGACGAACCAUAAUAUUGUUGAUCAGGAUAUAAAGGUCGAGGUGUAGGUCGAUAAAUUGGUUGAGAUGUGGGACCCAUAGGUGUCAUUAUCUGAGGAGCCAUAUGUGGCGGUAUUGAUGGAGUCAAAGGUGGUGGCAUACCUUGAUCAAUAUUUGAUGUCCCGCCAUGAUAUCCAAGAUUGUUCACAAGAUAUUCUUGCAUGGAAUCCAUCUGCCGUUUCAUUGCAAAAAUCAAAUCAUCUUUUUUCUUUAUCUCCUCUUGCAAUGCUCGAUAUGAUGAACUGGGAUAUGAUGACUCCACCGAGUAGGAAUGUGAUGAAGAGCUUGGACUAACUAUAGAUUUUGGCAUACGAGGUGCACCAUAUACCCUACCCUUUGUAACUCCUCCUGAAGCCGCACACCAAGCUGCUCCAUCAAAUGAAGGAUGAUUUUCCCGAUCAGUUCCAUACUUUGAAAUCAUCUCCAUUUUAUAAUUUUCCUACAAAUAAAAUACAUGCAACAAUAAAUUAAUUUGAAUGUUAAAUAAUACUUGAGUUAUAUUAAGAAAUAAUCAAAUAAAAAUACAUACAACCACUUUUUUUGACUUGUUAUCGACGAAGCUACCAGACUGCUUGGUACUUUGAUGCAAAGCUGAAAAGACAUCAUCCCAUGGAGGUUCUUUUCCACCAGCUUCCUCUUGCUUUCAAGAUUAAUAAAUAUUAUAAAAGAUAAAUUUAUAAAUUUUAAUUCAUUAUCUUAAGCAUAAAAAAAAUAUAUCCUUACCAUGUUAGCUCGAUAUGAUGCAAAUGACACCGUUCCUCCAGAAUGAGUGCUUAUUUUGCCAUCUGUUUGGGAUAAUCGAUUCCUCCUAGCAGAUUCAGACCUCCUUUGAAAUUCAGGGGUGGACCAAACAUCUUUGAUCAUUUGAUUCCAAUCAUCAUUGUUUAUCCAGGUAGGACCUUUAUCAAGGCAAUCUAUAAUAUUUGUUGUGUUUUCUUUUGCCAUGGCAUUCUUGCGAGCUCGUGUCAAUUGUUGAUUCAAAGCUAUCCUAGCCUUAUCUUCCCAAAUAUUACGAACAAUCGACUCAUCUUCCUCAGAAAAGGAAUAUUUUUUCUACCAAAUAAUAUAUAUACCAAGUAAAAAGAGUGCACAAAAUUUCAAAUUAUAUAAAUAAUUAAUCAUAUUGUGUUAUCUUGUUCAGAAUUUGCAAGAAAAUAUAAUAACUAAAGAAAUUAAAUGAUAUUAAAGAGUAAACAAGAAAUAAGAACAAAUUAUAACACAAAUCAGUCAUAGCUAUUCAGUUGAUAAUUUUCAUAAUGCUACAUUAAAGUGAUCAAAAUUAAAAAGAAUAUUAUGGCAAUUAGUGUUGGUUCUUACCUUAAACUCUCUAAAAAGUUCAUCCCUGCACAUGGAAUCUACUUUUUCCCAAGAGUGCCAUGCUCCCUUAAAAUUGGACCUCAAAAUAUCUCCAAUUGCACAUCCACAUGAUGCAUUAUUGAACCUGAAAAUACAUAAUAACAAACUUAUAUUAAACAAAUAAUUAUACAAUAAUAAGUAAUUUUUUUCAUACCUGAAAAUAUAACCUUAAUCAGUUAGUUAUUAAAAAGUUGAACUUACUCUGUUGUUCCAUACAAACAAAGCUCUUUUUUUCUUGUUAUUGGAUCCAUUGGCGUGUCAAAACCCUUCCUUUUCACAAUUUGAUCAUAAUUGUAUGGAGAAGAUGUUGAACCGUGAUAUGAUGGAACACCAUCUUCAUCCUCAUCACAUACACCUCUCACAUUACUACCGUCUCCCUCAUCUCAUCUCUAAUAUUCACAUCAUCAUCAUCAUCACCAUCAACUCUCCCAUGACUCCCAUAUAAAUUAUGUCCUCCAUAAACAGUUGGUUAUCUCGAGAGAAACCUCCUUGAGUUUGAAGCAAAUCCUGAAAACGAAAUCCCUCACAAUAUUGAUAUGCAUCAACCCUCCCAUAAUCAUGUUGAGAAGGAUGUGUACUCCCCAAAUGAGGUAUAUAAUACUCAUUUGUGUUCUGAUACACAGGUUGAUGAACUGUGGAUGCUUUGUUAUUAUGCCUUGAUGUAGUUUGAAAUGAUUUGGAUGAAGUGGACUUGUCACUCCUUGAUGUGGACCUGUCACUCCUAGAUUCUAAUAUGGAUCCUCGUCGAGGCAUGCUAAAAACCAGAAAAAAUAUAUACAUUAUCAUAUGAAUAUAUACAACAUAACAAUAAUAGCCAUCACUCCGAAAAAUAUUAUACUUCAAAUAAAAUAAUUACUGCAACAAAACCAAAUAUGUAAAUAACAUCAAGACAAUUUCAUUAAGCAUUCUUUGCAAUGACAAAAAUCAGCCAUGAAGUUUAAAUUGUCAUAAGCCAAUUAACACAAACAAUAAAAAAAGAUAAAAUUCUAAAUAAUUAAUUAAGCAGAAAUCAAAAUUUAUGAGUAUGCUUACCUUAAUGUUUGGUCCUAUAAAUCAAAAGAUUGAGUAGGAAAAACCCUUUCUUUCACGCUUCAGCACCUAUAAGCAAGAAAACAAAUCACAAAAUAAAAUAUAACAUCAAAAUCACAAUUUAAAGAUUGAUACUUGAAAGGUUAUAAAUGGUUUCAAAGGUCAAUGAAAAUGAUUUAUGUAAUGUGAUGCAUAACACACACUUGAAUAAAAUAAUAAUAAAACAAAACAUUGAAAGCCUAAAUAUUGUCAAAUAAUAUGAAAUCAUCCAUACAUAUAAUAAAGAUAAUUCAUUACAUAUACUACGAAAUAAAAUUAACUUGUGCUACUCAUUAUUAUCAUCACUCCUAACCAUCACCACCAUAACAAUCAUCCUCAUCAUCAUCAUCAUCAUCAUCAUCUUCUUCUUCUUCUUCUUCUUCUUCUUCUUCUUCUUCUUCUUCUUCACCAUCACCAUCUUCUUCUGCUUCAUCAUCUUUGUUUCCCCAAUUUAUGUCAAGUUGAAUCAAUUCAUGUUGCCCGAUUUCUUCAUAAUGAGAUGAUUCAACAAGUAUAUUUGGAUCAUCAAGUGUUUGAGUAGGAAGGACAAGAGAUGGUUGAGAAAUCUCAUCUGAUUGAUCAACAUCAAAUGAUCUCACAUUGUUUGCAUCUUCAAUAAAUUCACCCAUAUCAACAUUAUAACGACUUCUAGCAGUUGUCUUAAUAACCGUCCACCAUUCAGAUGAUUUAUUACCAGGUGGAUAUGUAUAGUAGACUUGUUGACAUUGUUGUGCUAACACAAAAUCUUCAUUUCCGUGUAGUCGAGAUGUAUGCUUGAUUUCAACCAAACCAUUCGAAGGAUGCACUCUAAUCCCUCGUUUUGUAUCAUACCAAUUACAUUUAAACAUAAAUAACUUGCACUUACUCCCCAAGUAUUUUAGCCGAACAACUUCUUUAAGCAUUCCAUAAUAAUCACGUUCAUCAUCAUCAUAACAACUUCCUUUCACACAAACUCCACUAUUCAUUGUCUUUUUAAAACGACCAUAACGUUGAGUAUGAAAUUUAAAACCAUUCACAUAAUACCCAUUAUAACAUUUCACUGAAGUUGAAGGGCCCAUAGCAAGUCCAAAGAGCUGAUUUUCAAUUCCAUUAGAUUGGUAUUCCACCUAGCAUAAUAGUUAACUCCAUAAGAAAUAAUGAUUUAAAAGAUAUUAAUAAUAUUUUUAAAGUAGCUAAUUGACAUAAAAAUAUAAAUUAAUUUUAUUAAAACACUUACAUUAUUUUUUAACCAAUUUGGAAAAAUCGCUUCACAUAAUUUUUCUAUUUCACCAUCACUGGCAUGUGAUUGUUGUGACUUUAGCUCUUGUCGACAUUGCCUAAAAUUUUAAAAUGUUAAAGUUAAUAACAAAUUAUUAUAAAUUUAGUACAAAAUAAUAUUUCAUACUUACUCUAAAUAAGGCUUCAGUUCUUGACAAUUGAAUAUCACAUAGUUAUGCGCAAUUUGCAUUUCAGCAUGUGACAACUGCCUUUUAUAAAAUCUUUUGGAUAAUUUUUUCCCUGGAUAGGAAAAAAUAGAGAGACAUCCAUCUACACUUCUAAGGCCACCAUCAUCAUUCCGUGGAACUCGAUUCCAAAUUGUUUGCACGUCAUCACCAAAAUAAUGAGAUGCAAAAUUGGUAAUUUCAUCAAUCAAGUAUGCUUCACAUAUGGAACCCUCAACUUUAGCUUUAUUGGUCACUUUCUUCUUCAGAUAAAACAUAUACCUAUAUCAUUUAUGUCAAUUAGUUUAUUUUUUAAAAAUCAAAAGUUAAUAAAAUUAACAUAGUAUGAAAACAUACCGUUCAAAUGGAUACAUCCAUCGAUAUUGAACUGGUCCACCAACUUUUGCCUCGUAAGGUAGAUGUAUCGUCAAGUGUUCCAUGGAGUCAAAGAAUGAUGGAGGAAAAAUCCUUUCAAGUUUGCAAAUUAUUUCAAUUAUAUUCAUCUGCAUUAACUCCAUGUGCUGGGCAUUCAAAUUUGUUGAACAAAUAUCUCGAAAAAAUACGGACAAUUCAGUUAAUGCCUCCCACAGUGGCCUAGGUAAGUAAGGUCGGAAAGCGGUUGGAAGAAGUCUUUGAAUGAAGACAUGACAAUCAUGACUCUUCAUCCCUGAAACCUUACAUUGUGCCUCUUUCACACAUCUUGAAAUGCUUGAAGCAUAACCAUCAGGAAAUGAUAAUUCCUUCAUCCAUGACAAGACUUCUUGUUGUUGUUUCUUGUGUAGACAAUAAGUGCCUUUAGGUUUGUAAACCCGACCACUCAUAUCUUGUUGCAAAUGCAAAUUUGGCUUCUGACAAUACAAUUGAAUAUCCAAUCUAGCCUUUAAAUUGUCCUUGCUUCUAUUCGGACAAUCCAUAACUGUAUAAAAAAUAUUGUCAAAGACAUUUUUCUCAACAUGCAUGACAUCAAGAUUAUGACGAAUCAAAUUUGUAUGCCAAUAUGGAAGCUCCCAGAAAAUGCUCUUCUUCACCCAAUUAUGCUUAACCCCAAAGCCAGGAAUUUUAUCAUUAUAUGAUGAACCUCCAUUAUGUCCCUCAGUAUACAUGGACACUUCGUUUAACAUUUCCAAACCAGAUGGACGAGGUAAAGGAGGGAGCAUUUCAAUUACUCCUUUCAAAAACUUAUCAGAUUGAAAUCUAUAUGGGUGGUUCAUAGGUAAGAAUCGUCGAUGACAAUCAAAAAAUGUAGUUUUCCCUCCAUUUUUUAAUCUAAAAGCCUUGCUAUGCUCCAUACAAUAAGGACAAGACAGAUUUCCAUGAGUACUCCACCCCGAUAACAUGCCAUAUGCUGGAAAGUCACUAAUUGUCCACAUCAAAGCUGCCCUUAAUUGAAAAUUUUCCUUUCUGUAUACAUCAUAUGUUUCAACACCAACAGACCACAAAUUCUUUAACUCAUCAAUCAAAGGUCUUAGGAAAACAUCAAGCUUUUUACCCGGAUUCUUUGGCCCAGGAAUCAUCAUUGUCAAAAACAUGAAUGGUCUAGUCAUGCACUUCCACGGAGGCAAAUUAUAAACAGUCACAAUUACUGGCCAACAAGAAUAUGUAUUUGAAGACAUGUCAAAUGGACAAAACCCAUCAGUGCACAACCCUAACCGAAUAUUUCUCGGAUCUGAUGCAAAGCUUAAGUGGACACGAUUAAACUCUUUCCAUGCCUCCCCAUCAGAUGGGUGCACCAUAACCCCAUUAUCAGAAUUAUGAAAAUGAUGCCAUGUCAUAUCUUUGGCAUGAUAUGGAGACAUGAACAGUCUCUGAAGCCUUGGUGUUAAGGGAAAGUAUCGGAGUUGCUUCUCCGCCUUAUUGGAACCUUUACUAGUUGGAUUUCUAGGUUUGUAUCGUGAACUUCCACAAAAAUCACAAUUUAUUUUCAUUGCAUCUGCCCCAUAGUACAGCAUACAGUAAUUAGGACACACAUCAUAUUUCUCAUAACCAAGUCCAAGUGGUCGCAUAAAUUUCUUGGCAUCAUAAAAAUUUGAAACCAAAUUUUCAUCAUUAGGCAUGCAACUUUUUGUAAAGUCAAUAAAAUUAUUGAAGGCAUUCUGAGUCAAAUUUAAAUUUGACUUCAUAUUGAGCAAUUGUACACAAGCAGAUAAUUUGGAUUGCUUGGUACACCCAUCCCACAACGGCUCCUCCGCAGCUUUCAAAAGGUUAAAAAAUUUAGUUGCCUCCGGAUUUGGAAUUUCUCCAGCUACCACAGGACUAGACACAUUAUCAUUAUAGAAUGCAUCACCAACCCCCAUUGCAUCCAUAACCAGAUUCCUAUAUGGAUUCUCUAGACAAACAUCAUUCACAGCAUGACUCAUUAUAAUCGAUGAAGGUCCAGCCAAUAUUGGUUCUGCGACAUAAGGCUCCCCAUGUACAGUCCAAUUUUCAUAACAAGGUAAAAAACCUUUUGUCAAUAGAUGUUUACAAACAUCAUCCUCCUUUAAAAACUUUUGAUUUUUGCACCUCACACAAGGACAUCUAAUUUUUCCCCCAGAUAUAUUUUUAUCAAUUGAAAAUGCAAAAUUGAUAAAUCUUCUAACACCGGUAAUGUAUUCAGGACAAAGGCGACCAUCCAUAAGACGACGAUACAUCCACGAUCGAUCAUCCAUGUUAAUCUAAUUAACAUGACAACACCAAUAAGUAUUUUUUGAAAUAAGCAUACUUCUUUAACUACUAGUACUUAAACAAUCCUUUAAAAUAAAAUAUGUACCACAUGAAAGGCAGAGUUCCAACUACUUGAAAGCAUUACAAUAGGCAUGCCCAACAGAAAAAUCAUGCACGAUAUAAUUAAGCAACCAUGUAAAAAUGGAGCAAAAUAGAACUUACCGAAUCCCCAAGAAUCAAUGGCACAAGGUGGAGGUUUUCUUAUUGCAACCCAAUUAGAUUUAGCCAACUCUAUUGGAUUAUAUUGUGAUCCAAUAAGCCAUUCAUAUUGCUGGAAAAAAAAAAAAACAUAAACAGUAUGUUACACCCAUCAAGUUAUAACAAUUUCUAGUUUUUAAAACAAAUCCAAGUUAAACUAUGAAAAGCAAAAAGCAUAUACAAGUUAAAGAAUGAAAUUUUAAUAUUUGUUUGGUACUUGUCUUCUCAUAACAAAUAUUUUUUCAUUUUAGAUAUAACCUGAAAUUUUUCAUUUAAUUUAAUAGCCCCUGUUUUGAUUCCAAGGAUGCGUCUGAAAGGGUGGAAAGACAUGAAGGGAAAUAAAAUGCACAGAGGGACCGGAUGCUUGCUUUGUGUAAAAAGCUUGAAAUGAUCCAGAAGACAAGGUCUUCCAGAUAUGUGCUAGCUAAUUGGAAUCUGUUGGAAUUUAGCAGGAGAAAAAAGCAGACAUCUCCUUUUCAAAUGGGAAAUCAUUACUUGCAAUAAAAUUCACUAGUUAGUAACUCUUGAAUGGGGAACCUUAUUUUUUUUUCCUUUUUCUUCAGUUUACCCUUUUGAUUUUAUGUGGAGUACUCAAGUUCUUGAGAUCUCUUAUAAAUAAAGCACAUGAAAAGAGGGGAUUUGAUUAUUAAAAAAACAAAAAAACCUACCUAACUAAUUAGAAUAUGGCAUAUAAUUUAAUGACCAAGCAGACUGGUAAUUGCUUGAUGUCCAUAGAUGUUGGUUCUCAAAACUCAAGAAUUGUUUUUUUUCUUCUUAUUAUUAUUAUUAUUUCUAUGUUAAACUGGUUAUACGUGUGCUCCCAUUAACAUCCACACAGUACUGUAGUCUUCGGGAAUUCCAAUAUAAGCUUGGAAAAAACGAAAAUCACCCACAGAUAGUGUCCUUUGAUGGCUCAACAAAUAAAGCAAAAGAGACUGGUGCUAUUAAUUGUUGCAUGUGCAUCAAUAAAUCAAGAAUCUUGUUUGGUCUUAUUUCUUCCUGAAAAAGCGUUGCUUUAGGUCUCUUUUAUCUUGAAAUUAUUCAAUCCAAUUCUUAUUUAUUACUACAUGAAAUGGAAGGAAAAACAAUUGACGUCUGUGCUUUAAUAUACAGCAAUACAUUCAUUAAUUGAAAAGAUUGCUUUAAUUUACAGCAAUACAUUCAUUAAUUGAAAAGAUUACAAUAGGCAUGCCCAGUAGACAAAUUAAGCAUAAUCUAAUUAAGCAACCAUCAAAAAAUGGAGCAAAAUAGACUUACCAAAGCCCCAAUAAUCAAUGGCCGAAGGUGGAGAUUUCCUUGUUGCAACCCAAUCAGACUUAACCAACUCUAUUGAUUUAUAUUGUGAUCCAUUAAGCCAUUCAUAUUGCUGGAAAAAUAAAAAACAUAAACAGUAUGUUAAACCCAUCCAGCUUUAUCAAUUGCUAGUCUUUAAAACAAAUCUAAGUUAAACUAUGAAAAACAGAAAGCAUAUCCAAGUUAAAGUACCGUUUAGUUUUCAUAUUUUCAUGGCAAUUGUCUUCUCAUAACAAUUUUUUUUCUUCUAAGAUCUAACCUAAAAACAGAACACUUGAGACUCAUAACAUGAUCCAUGGUUUCUUCUGUUCAGACUUGAAACGACAGCAAAGAUGACUGAAAUUAAAGGCUUUUAUAAUAUCAUUAUAUUUUGCAUUAAUUUGUCGUAAUCUAAUUAUACAAUUAUUAUAUUUCAUUCUAAUUAAAAACUAUCAUUUAUAAUAAAAAAAUCUAUAUUCUUUACAGUUUUUUUGUCUUAAUGUAAAGAAGUUUACGUUAUCUGUGAUGAAAUAGUUUGUUUCUUUCCAUUAAAGUAAAACAGUCACUUCAGAAUCCAAACCAUUUCUUGUCCUAAUUAUUUUUUUAAUUUUUUGCUUUAUCGAUAAAUCAGUAGAUUGUGCCUACAUUAAGCCACUAAUUAGGAUACAAACAGAAUCCAACUAAAAGUAGCAAAUGGAAGACAAAAAACAGAACAUUUAAACAUCAGUACUUAAAUAUGCAUAUUUAAAUUUUGAUACAAGAGAAUCAAUACACACCACUUAAUCAAUGCAUAGGUAUGUAGACUCAGUCAAAUGAAAUAAACCUAAGGUAUCUAACAGGAACCUGAAACACAGAAAUCAGUAUCCUGAUUAUGAAUCUGCUUAACUUCAGAAAUUAUCAUGUGAAUUUGGUUUGAUAUUAUGAUAGAAGAACAUCAUCAACAAUCAAUCUUUAUAUCUUAACCCAGCUUCGUUUUCAAAACAAAAGGCAUCAGAUCAGCAGCAGAUAAGAUCAAACAACAUAAUGAAGAACUACACUAAUGCACUAGUAUUGACAGAGAUUAUGGUAAUGUUAUAAUAUUUUGUCGCGCGUAUUCAUAGAAUUCAUUCUCCUCUCAUGGUUUAAGAACACAAAUUACUAAAUGAACAAAAACAAACACUACUCAUGGUUGUAUCUUGAUGUCAGAAUACCAUGCCCAAUCAACUGCUAUCAAAUUCAAUAAUACAGUACCUGUAAGACCUAAAUUCUAAUCUGAAACCCUUCAUAACUUUAACUAUUUCGAGUGUUAUCAAGCUACUUUGACUGGAAAAGUUAGUUGCUCUAAAAAAUUAUGUUGUGACCCGAGAGACAAUGGGAGCAAAGGUGAUAAAAGCCUUGUUUUGUUUAAAGACAAUUAUAUGCCUAAGGAGAUGAGAAAAUGUGGAGAUAUAACAUUGGAUCUUACAAAACAGGAGUUUGAACAGAAAAAAUCAUCCCACUUACACGAUGAUAUGAAGGUAUCUCAUGGGGGAAAACAACUAUCUACUGGCAAAAAGAAACCAAAGGGAAGCAAAAAUGAUUAUAGCUCAACUGCUGGGACAUUCAAAUAUUUAUGAACCGUAACCCUAAAAAUUAAAUUGGGGGUUUUGAUAAAUUUUCAAUUACACAUGCUUAAUUACGUUAUAGAUCAUGGUAAAAACAUUUCAUAACACCUAUAUUAUCGAAUUAAUAGCCUAAAACCAUUAUUCAAAGCAUUGAAAAAAAAAAUGUUACCUGUGUUCUUGAGUUACAGGUGACCGAGAUCGUUCGACAUGACAGAAAAAAAACCUGAGAUUGGGAAAGUUGGGUGAAAAAUUUUUAGUGCAAGUUAAAUUGCAACAAACAAAACAAAAACAAAAACCAUUAAUUACUUACCUGAACUAUUGAAGAAAACCGUGAAACACCCAACCCGUUUACAAUGAGAUACCUUAAACCAGCAUGUUCGAUGGUGAUAAUGAUGGGUCUGGUUCGAUUUUGUUCAGAUGAAGGAGAAGAAUUAGGGAUCCUGAAGACGCGAAGAAGAUGAAAUGUUUGGGAAAAAGGAAAAUCAAAUCGAUGAAGAGAGGGUGAUUUUUCUACACUUAUGGAUCGAUGUUCUUAGGGACGAAGGAGAUCGACUGGAAGAGUGGAAGAGUGGAAGAUCAUUAAUUUUCACCUGUUGGUUUUGUUCAUUUGGUCUCGAUCUGUUUGCAUCUCGGUGUGGGGGGAGAAGUUGGUGCGGAUGGAUUUACCAAAGCUAGCAAAGAAUAAACGGUUGAGAUUUUAUCCUUGGAAAUGUUAUCAACGGUCUUCGUAAAUUUGGUUUUAUAUUAAAAUUUAAUUAAUUAUUUUUUACUUAGCAACGGAAAAUCCGUUGCUAAAUUCAACGUAAAUUUUGCAACGGAUUUUCCGUUGCUAAAAUCCGUUGCUGAUAUUAAAAAACUAAUAUAUGUGUAAUCCGUUGCAAAUCUGAUACUGAAUUUAGCAACGGAAUUUUCCGUUGCUAAAUUCCGUUGCUAAUUGCCCCUCUUUCUAGUAGUGGCAUGACAAAAACUGCAAGCAUAAGUACGCCCAUAUAUUUCAUCAAAAAAGGAACGUACAUGUGGAUGAUAUACACCCAAGUUUAUUUAAAUUAGGAGGCCAUAUAAUUUAUUCUAGUACAGUAGGGCAUCCUUUUUUAUCAUACAACUCAAAAGACUCACGAGGACAUUCAUCAUCUCAUCACUCACAAGCAAGUCGUGGCGUAGGAAUUGAAUUAAUGAACUUGGUGGCAGCAAGCAUGGCGUUGUAGGAGGCUAAAUAGCUAAUUCCUGAGUUUGAACUUGUUUCACCAGCUAUAUUUGAAACACCUUGGAACACCACGAAGAGCUUUUCAUUUGACAUAGAUGUCUGCAAAUUGGGACACAAACAAAUUCGUUAACCAAAUUAAUCAUGCGUAGCUUCCUAGCUAAAAGGCAUCUCUAGAAGAAGAAGAAGAAACACAAACUUUUGAGCUCGUAGAAGGUUUUUUUACUAACCAAAGCUACAGAAGCACUUGCUGUAUCGGCAGUUUUUGCAUCAAAAUUUUUGUUAAGGAAGUCUCCGUAUGCUUUGUUUCGAACGUAAAAAUCAGAAGUAGAACCCUUGGAUCCGAAGACAACUUUGGGUUUUCCGGGCAGGCAUUUAUCAGAAUAACAUUCUCUUAACUUCAUAUCCUGCAAUGAAUAAUCAAUUAAUUAUUGUAGUUAAUCCACUUGAAAAUUCAAAGAUAUAUAUAUUCAUGGUCUCAAUAAUAUCAUUAUAGGCUUAGCGAUAGUUUUAAUGGCAAUGAAGAAGAAACAUGCAGCUAAUUCAGCUGAAUAUUCUGAGAUUGACAAACCUUGAGCUUAUUAGUGGCAGCUUCAUACCAGGAUGCGGUGAUGGGAAGCCAGAAAACUUCCUUGGGUGCUUCACUUGGAGUGAACAUGUUAAUUUUCUCAUACUCUACAGUCCCCAACAAGUUCUCUCCAUUCUCUGGAUAAUUGAAGUCUCCAAAUACCAGAUGACCUUUCUCCUCCGCUCCGAAUUUCUGCAUGAUAUAGAAUUGAUUACGUAGUAUUAAUUAGUCCCAACACCACUGCUGAUAUACAAUGUAAGAACUUUUUGAUUUUUAUGGAUUAUUCUUGUUAUUUGUCAAGAUUAUAAUAUAUCAUUGUUUUCUUAUUAGCUAUAUAUUAUACUAUAUCACUGUCACUAUGUCAGAUAUGAUGUACGUCUUUAAAAUAAAAUUUAAAAAAUCAACUUUUAAAACAAAAAUAGAAAAAAAACCAUAAAUAAUAGCAAAGGCCCUACGCACCUUCCAGUUCCAAACUCCGGUGAAGGCAACAGCCUGCGGCACAGAAACAUCACCUGGAACCAUUGUUUUCUUAUCCAAGCUUCCAGCGUUCCCAAAAUAGAUGACUCCGUGAAUUUGGAAUCUAGCUAAAAGGAUUUGCAAAGCUGUUGCCAUAUUUACCUGUCAUAAAACAAUAUUUAAGACACGAAAGAUGCAAGUUUCUUUCGUUAAAAAUAAACAAAUUAAGGUAGAGUUAGUCUUACUGAAGCCCUCCCUGUCUUGACAUAUACAAUAGAAGAACCGUUGAGUGUCCCGCUAUGGAACCUUCUGCCCGCAAUGUCAACAGAGGAGUCUUCACUGUCAGGGCUAUAGAGUCCGGAGUCUUUCAGAGCCCUUUCGUUGACAUCAGAGGUAAAAACUAGCCCUAAGCGGAGGUGUGCGACUUUGCAAUUGCUUUUCUCGAUCUCAGCAAUGGAGUCUAUCAAACUCGCUUGCAUGGACUGCUGUGGCAUAACCAGCAGCAGCCCAAGCAACAGCAGUGCUGCCAAAUUGACUCUAGACAUUCUAUGGAGCUCAAGUGUUAAAGUGAAGUGACAAUGCUUUAGAUAAUUAAAUGCAACUGCUUUGUUGAAUGAUGGUAUUUGGGUGCUCCUCAUGUGCCUUUAUAUAGAAAUCGACCAUAGCUUCUUCUUUUUUUAACGCAAUUACAUAAAUGCCCUGUGUUGUUAUAAUUGACGACGUUGAAUAUCUCAAUGCCUCUCUCAUGGCAAUUUUUUUAUAUAUAUUUUAUUAAUAUUGAUGUCUAAACCAGUUUGCGUGUGUAUAUAUCUUGAUUAAUUUUACGAGUUUUGAAAUUAACAAUCAUGUAAGGUUUUAAUAGCCUUAAAAUUUUAGAACCUGAAUUGAUGAUCUUUAUAGAAUAAAUUCAGGAUCUGAUCAAUUGAACUACAUUUUUCAGAGUUAUGAUAAAUUAUUAUUUUAUUAUUACUUUAGAUAAAUUAUUAGUAUAUGUUGUACUCUGUCCUGAAACCACAAUUAAAACUUUUUUUGAAAAAAAGUUGCUAAAUUUCAAGAAGAUUAAUGCAAUUUUCUAGUUAAAUUAGUUAAGUAUAAAAGAAUUUAAAUAAUUUAUUAAAAGAUCCUAGAACCCAAAUUAGUUUACAGCAUCACAAACGGAUUGAAAGUAAGAAUGAGUAGUGUUAAUGAACAUUUUUCAUAUUUAUUAAAAAUAAAAAACAAUAAAAAAAUUUUAAAACUGCUCACCAAACUUUUUUUUUAUGAAACACAAAUUCAAUUAUUAAAUUUAAUAUGACAUUAAAAUCUUGAUAAUUAAAUAAUUAUGAUUUCAAAUUUUAUUAGUCUUAUUUUUUAAUUAAAUUAAAAAUUUAAUAUAAAAUAAAUUUAUGUAAAUUUCAAGUUUUAUUUUCUCUAGCUUGUUUGGCUUAUAAUAAAAGAGAAAAAAGGUCCGUGGUCGAAAGAAAAAGAAAUUGAAAACUGCAAUAAAAAAUAGUUUCUUUUUGAGCUUUAACCUUUUGGAGAUUUUUUCAUAUCCUGAGAGUUGUCAUCACAAUUAAUGAAGAAAAAAACAAAACCGUCACUGGGCCCAAAAUAAUUUUGCAUCGGUAGUACAUCUAAAUAAGUAUUUGGAUUUGAACAAUCGUACACACAUUAUCCAUAAUUUCUCCAUCCAAAAUUAAAAAAUUAAACAACAUAAAAAACAAAAUAUACAACGACAGCACAUCACUUAAACAAAAGAACUUUCAAAUUUUAAAGCAUAUCCUUUAAUGGAUUAAGUACUAUUUUACUUUUUAAAAAUUAUCAAUUUAAAUUUUAUAAAUUUUAAAAUUAUUAGAAAUAUAUGGGAUUAUUAAUUUUAAAACUUAUAAAAUUAAUUAAAAUAUUUAUAAACUGACCCAAAUAUCCAUAUUAAAAAAAAAACCUAGAUCCGUCAUUAUUUAAGCUAAAGAUAAGAAAUAUCCUUUAAAUUGCCUCAUAUAAGCGAUGCCAUGUUCUGAAUUAAUACUAUUUAGCAUUACAUAUUAUUUUUAAAUAAAAUUUAUAAGUGAUAAAUUAAAGUUUCAGAAUAUGUAGUAUAUUUAAGAUGAAUGAUAAUGCAAAAUUAAAAUUAAGAAAAGGGUCUCUAGCCUAAUUUAAAAAUAUUAACAUAGACUAGAAGACGUUUUCUUUUUUAUAAUUUACUGAACAAUUAAUAAAUUAUGACAAGAAGUAUAUAUUUUAUAAAUUUUUAUUAUGAUUUAUAUUUGAAAGUAUUUGAUUUAUCUUACACUAAAAGACCAUCAUAUCUAAUAAAAAAGUAUAUGAUCAAGGGGUGUUGAAGAGAGAGAGGGAGGGAAAAAGAAGGUGAGGGAAAAUAGGGUUUGCCACCGGUGAAAACCAAUAGCGAUGAAGGGUUGGUAAAGAGGGAAAAAAAGAGAGAUAAAUUCAUCUAGUCAAACUUUAAAUUAGUGGUGAUUAUUUUUAAUUUGAUUCUAUUUUUAUAUAAAAAAAUGUAAUUAAACUGAAAUAAAAAAAAUAAAACCAAAUCAAAAUCGGUUCAAACCGACUGGUUUCGGUUCUUUUUUUUAGACAAAAACCGGUUCAAACUAGUUGGCUUUGUUUUUUCGGUUUGACUCAGUUUUUUCUUAUUUGACUCGGUUUUUUCAGUCUGGCUCCGUUUUCCCGGUUUGAUUUGGUUUUUUCGGUUUAGGUUCGAUUCAGCAUGGUUUUUUCAGUUUUAGACUUAUAAAAUCGAAACUGAACCUGUCGUUUUUUUUGAAAUUUUAAUCGGUUUAAUUGAUUUUUUUACGGUUUGGUUUUUCAAUUUUUUUUCCCAGUUUUUUCGGUUUAAUUGGUUUUUCGAUUUUUUUACUUACCCCUACUUUAAAUAGAAGUUUCUGUAGCUAGUUAAUGUUCUUGUAAUUGCCAAUACAAUAAGUUUUUUUUAAAAAAAACAUAAUAAUAGUGCUUUUAAAAUAUGCACUCUAUAAUUUUUUUUUUAAAAAUAAUCAUCUGAAACUAAUGAAUUAUUUAUUACUAUAGAUAUGUAUAUCUUAAAUCCAAUAUUAAAUAGGAUUCGAUGCCCCUCAAGUUAAUGAUAGCAUAGUAUUUAAUUUUAGUUAAAUCCUAACCCUUAGAUUGUUAAUUGAUGGCCAGGAGCAUUACAUAUAAUUAUACUACUCCUAAAAAAUAAAAUGAAAUUCCUAAUUUGAUCACAUUUUAUAACUUUACCUUUAUAUAUACCUAAACUCAUUUUAUAAAUGUUAAAAACAGUUAAUUUCCAAAUCGAUCCAACGUCUCAUAAUAACUCUAGUUUUGAACAAAAAUAGGAUUUAUCAUAUAACAUAUUUCUUGUGAAUGGAAAAGUAUUCUUUUGUUAUUUUUCAGAUCCAAUAAAUCAAAAAGCAUAAAACGAAAAUGAAAUCUUAGAUUGAGCUAGCUUGCAGUAAAUAGUAUUAAGAUUUUGAUUAGUUGGGACAAAAAAGAGUUCGACAAAAUUCAUGUACCUAUCUAUUUUUUUUUUUAAUUAUUGAGCACUUUACCUAUUUAUUUUUUAUUAUUGAUUAGGGUUAAAAUUUUAUUAGAAUUUAUUCUUUAAUAAAAGUUUUUUUACAAUGGAAUAUCAAUAUGGUUAAAACAAAUUAUGAGUGAAUAAAAAAUUAAUUUUAAAAAAUCUUGUUUGAAAAACCUAAAAAUUUUUAUCUUAUAUGAAAAAAGAUUUUAUUUUAGUUUAUGUUGCUACCCAAUUUUUGACCCAUGUUUUUGAGAUAUUUUCAAAAAAUCCAAAAAAUAGAGAAAAACAAUGAAAAGCAAAAAAUAUGUUUGUUAAUAUAUUUUUGUCAUUUUAGCAUUUUCAACGUCGUCUAAAAAAGAAUUUAAAUUGUUAAAAGAUUUUCAAACGCGUUCGACUUUUCACGCGUCAUUUUUAAAUCAUUGAUUUCCCGCAUUUGAGUCGACGUUGAUAUUGCUCGUUUGCAAAAAAUACAAAAAAAGAAAAAAUCAAAAUUACAAAAAAGAAAGAAGUUGAGGGACCAAGUUGAAAAACUUGCAACAUUUUUUGCCUAUAAAUACUGGUUUCCAACUCUUUCAAAGGGGGGGGCAAUUUUGAAAUAUCAUAAAAUACAAAAAAAAAACCUAACCCUAAACCUAUCUCAACCAAGCCUGCAGCCCCCCUUCUCCCUGGUUUGAAUUUUUUUUCCACAGCCGCCGCCACAAACCGAAGCCAAACAGCCCUUCCCUCAGCUUCUACCCACGCUGUUCCCCAUAUUUUUCACCUUAACCAGAAACCGUCACCGAGACCUUCCCCUCUCCCUGCACAAAAGGAAAACACAAACCCAAAGCAGCCCCUCCCCGGGCUAAAAUUUUUUUCUCCAACCGUCGGCCAAGACUUGGCUCCCCAUUUUUCCAACGUUCCAGACUUCCCCCCCGAAGGCUCUGAUUUUUUUUUCCUUCUUCUGGCCGGCCAAGAGCUUGGCUCUAGAGCCCAAACAGUCCCCCUCAAUUUCUUUCCUACCGCCACCAGAGAACCAGCCAUCGCCGAUCUCCCUUCCUCAUCCCCACAGCAGCAGGCGAUCUUCCAUCUUCAACCGGUCAGCAGCAGGCGCCUCCACCAAGCCACACCGCAGCAGACGCCUCCAUCGAGCCACACAGCAGCAGAGUCUCCACCCGAAGAAACAGAUCCACCAGCCACUUGAAACAGGUCCAGCAGUGACGUCUCCACCUCCAGCGUCCUCCCCUCUCUCGGCCGACCCAGCUUCAACAGUACCGACCGACCAGCCACAGCAGCACCGCCCGAAACAGAGGAGGAGGAGAAGACACCCACCACCGUAGCUGGGCAUCACCGGAUCUGCAACCAGACGCAGAUCUGCAAAAGAAAACAGAUCUAAGAAAUGAAACAAACAAAUUAAAAUCAACUGCCUGUGUUGUUUUUGGGUUCUUUGCAGGUCGUCGCCGGCGUUGGGAGGCUGAGAAGAAGAAGUCGAUCAAGCCCCCUGCUGCGGUUUUUUUUUCCGGUAGCGCGUGAACCCACGCGCCGCCAGUGGCGGGGGCGCGUGGGAAGACGCGCCGGAACUGUUCAUGCGGGUGCAGAAGUCCUUCCCUGCAAUUUCGGGAGUUUUGAGGGACCAUUUUGUAAAUUUUAAAGUUUUAAUGUAAUUUUUGUUUAUUUAUUUUAAAUUUGUAAUAUGUGAAUGUAAAAGAAAAAGAAGAAAAGAAAAGAAAAUAAUAAUAACAAAGGGGAUGUGUGUGUUGGUGUAUUUUUAUUUAUUUAUUUUGAAUUUGAAUUUGAAUUUGUAUUUGUAUUUGUAUUUGUAUUUGUAUUGUUGAUGUAAAAGAAAAGAAAAAAAGAAAAAGAAAAGAAAUGAAAAUAGUGAAUGUGUGUGUUUGUAUUUUGUUUUACUUAUUUGUAUAUAUAUAUUAUAUAUAUAUAUAUAUAUAUAUAUAUAAUUUAGGAUAAAAUUGCAAAUAUAUUAAAGAAGAAUUUAAUAUUUUGAUCGGAUCACGGUUAAGAAUUAUUAACUUAUACGUAAGUGAUAUUUCUAAUUUCCGAUGAAAAGACAAUUAUUAAAACUUCUUUAACACGUCAAAGCCACGAAGCAGCUUACCUCAGGUAGGGUGCGUUAGGGGUGCUAAUACCUUCCCUAACCACAACCAGUCCCUUACCCGCGAAUCUCUGACAAGACCAGUACAUCCGGUUUCCUAGUAGCCCGAAAUCAAUUACUAGGUGGCGACUCCAACGAACCAAAUUCAAGCAAACAACAACGAGACGAAAAAUCGCCAGCCGAUGCCGCGCGUUGAUUGAUUUUUUGGGGUGCGACAGAAUGGCGACUCCACUGGGGAAGGUAUUUUUUCGAUUAUUGGACUAAGCUUUGUGUAUUUGAUGUGUUUAAGUUUUUGCAUUUUUAUCUUUUUGUUAAUAUUUAUUUCCAUGCAUUUUAUAGAAUUGUCUCAUACAUCACCUGUAUUUAUUUUGAAAAAAAGCACACACAAGCUUCUAGGUUAGGUGGGGAACUAGCGAUCUGCCCUAAGACUAUUGGUCAGGGUUCAGAUGCGUGAAACACCCAACUCAUAUCUGAGUGCCUGCUUGGUAAUGGUGGGUAUACGUGCCUUAACCAUUCUUUGCAACGCCCCCAUACUGUCUUUACGAAGAACGUCACUGGGCAGAUAUGAGACCCUUUUGAGACUAGAUAGAAAACCUAGCCAUGUUCACAUAAUGAAUAGAACUUGUCCUUAGGUUGUAUGUGCUACCGUUUUUUGCAUAAGGGCAAACCCUUCUUGAAGCAUCUUGAACUCAAGACUUGUGGGUGACACAUUGGCCGUUGCUCCGAAAAUUUUCAUUGUAGAGUUUGGGCAAAAAUCACGAUUCUUGUCCAUCAUACAAGAGUUACGACCAUAUUAUCACCUCUCGAAGGGUGAGUUCAUCAUAUAGAUUACAUGUUCAUACAUUUAUCAUGCAUGUACCGGGCUGAAAGGUAGGUCCCCCACACAAGCUGUGCUGCACGUGAUGGAGGUGAAGAAAUGUGUCAAAUAGAGGCUCAUUAUCAGAUUAGGGUUGAGAACGUUAAAUGUGAAGUAGCUAGACUCAGAUCUGCUCGAACAAGUGUUGAACAUCAAAUGGAAAGAGAAUAUCUGCACAGUCUUCCGUGGGAACACUGCCUGUUCACAUCUAAUUGAAGCUGUAUCUCUCCUUUUUCGUCAUGAACAAAAGCAACAACGCCUUCAGUCAUCAACUAAUGACAACUCUAGUUCUUGUCCAAUUGCAUUGUUAAGUGUUCAUCGCCUCCACAUCAUCUAAUGGAACCAAACAACUACAUGCCUCUUGUACAUGGUGCAUUAGUCUGUUUUGAAGUUACCCCAAUUAUGAGCUCAAUUCUAGUUCAGCAGCACAAGAUGUUGGUCUGAAAAACCAUGAUCAGACACUGAAUUUCAACGCGGUAGAACUCUCUCUGUAGAGAUUUAUUUGUGGAUCUGCCAAUGGAAAAUGCAAAAGGGGAAUGUAUUAAUUUCAUAUGCUUUGAAACUUGUUCCCACCAGUGGCACCGACAAAACAUUGUAGUAGGCAGAAGAGUCAAACCUGAUCUGAUAAUAUUAGUAGUUGUCAAACUUCAAUGUGGCAGAGCUCUCUCCAAAAAAAAAAUAAUAAAAAUAAAAAAAAAUAAAAAAAAAAUCAUUUAUGGCUCUGCAAAUUGGGAAUGCAAGAGGGGAUUUAUAAGACGCAUAUGCUACAAAUAUUUCUCUCAUCAAUUUCAGCACGAAGACCUCUUAGUAGGUUGAAGAGCCAGACCUGGUCUGAAAAAAAUAUGAGCAGACAUCAAACUUCAACGUAGCAGAGCUCACUCAGCAGGAAUCUGUUUGUGGAUCCGCAAGUGGGAAGUCCAAGAAGGAAUACAGUAGUUUCAGGUCUUCUAUGAUUUUCCUCCAACAGUGUCAGUAUUAAAACGCAAGAGAAGAGAGAAGAGACAUGCCUAGACUGAAAAACAUGAAGAAUACUGAAACUUCAACAGAGCAGGACUUCCUCUAUAGGUGUUUGUUUGCUGCACUGUCAGUGAGAAAUUGAAGAGGGGACAAAGGAAUUUUAGAUUCAUCAGGUGCUCUUCCAAUAGAGACAAUGUGUGAUUCCACACGUCGGUAGUGGCGAUACUACAAGUUUCUGGGCGCUGCCAAGAUUACCAAGCUGUUAGAAAGUUUUCUAACAAUCCUCAACCAACCAUAGCAACAUUGGAAGAUUGAAAUAAUGUUGUGAGGAUUUGCCGAAGAAUUGAACAAGCUAUGAAGAGAAGAAAGAUUGAAGGAUCUGCCAUGGAUUCUAGAACAAUGAUGAGAGGUGAAUCAGGAGAUGACUUUGAAGUGUGAACCCUUAAUUAUGUGGUAUAGCCAGGUCUCACGGCAUCAAUUGCUCAAAUAUCUUUGCCAAGAUGGGACAUUCCUCUGCCGUUUAAGUUGUCGACCAGCAUCCGCAAGAUUCCAGAAUUUUGCUUGACUCCGACAAAUCCCAUGCAACCACCAAUUUCUAGUGGUAUAAUCCAGAUAAGAGAUGUGAUGUCAUGGUGGGGUCCUCAACCAUUUCAAGUGAACAGUUUCAAGAAUUGCAAGAAUGAGUCUGAAAGUUGGUGAGCAAGAGACAGUGGAGUCGUUGAAGAAGGGUGUCACUGGCUAUAUUGUUCCCCGAACAUCUUCAGAAUGACAUGUGAUCGAAAAUGCUUGCAAAACACAGAUAUUGCCAGAAAAGCUGAUUCGAGAAUGGUGAUGAACAGUCAAUCAUAUUUUAUGGAAUUCUGCAUUUUGUUUUGGGAUCACAUCUCAUCCUUCAACGAAACAUGCCUUGCUUUUGUCUCUUUGUUGUUUUGAAAUCAACAGAUGUUUAGCAUUUUAUUCUGACAAAAUAUUUUGAUCAAACUCCAACAUGCGAUAAAGGUUAAUCAAUCCGGAAGAUUAAAAGUGUUUUGAUUACAGAAAUGACUCGAUGCUUGAAAAUGACAUGAGGUGACAAACAAUUUUGAACUCAUACCUCCUGAAACUGAACCACACAUCAUAUAGCUAAGUUUUACAGUAUGCAUAAUGACAUGUAGUGGAUUCGGUAGUUAUGGACUCGUGAAUCAUGAUUCUUACAAGUCCCAAUCAUUACACUGGAUGAGGUCAAAAUUUAUCGGUUCUAACCGACCUUGCUUGAAAUGAGAAAAGGCCAUCUUUGAUAUCCCUUCACUUUCUAAAGAUUAUAUCCCUUGCAGUCCCAUUUUGAGCCUGGUAAAAUAUUUUCUUUCAAAAAAAGAAACCCUGACUAGGAUCACACCCCACACUGGGGGCAAAUGAGAGAUAUUUUGGAGACAUUGAUAUAAUUAAUGGAUAAAGGGGAAGGCUUAGAACAAAGGUCCAAUGAUUGAGAGAGAGCUAAAAGAAAACACAUAGACUGGGGGCAUAUAAGAAAAUUUUGAGGAAGGCUAUGAAAAAAAAAGAGAAUGAAAAAAAGGAAGUUGAAAUUGCCCUCACUUAAAUACAAGUCAAAGAUAAAGGAAGGAGAACGCCUAUCAAGUCUAUGAAGAGCAAAAGAAAUUUCAAUCAAGGAAAGGCACAACAAAAGUCAAUACCAGAAAAAAGACUAAGCUAUAAGCGUUGACUUUUGGUAUCCAUUAUAAAGCCUAUGUUAUCAGAUGAUUAAGGUUGGUUAUUCAUCAAGAAAGUGGAUUUGCAUUAUGACUUAUGUUAAGAAAAGUCUGAACUUUGAGGUUAACAAGGUUAUAUGUCGUUUCCUCUACAAAGACAACAAUAUAAAAGAGUUGAUGAAUAGUUGAUGUUGAUCCUAGGUCUUUGAAACCCUCAAACACCUUUUGAGCCUUUGAAAUUCCUUUCUUUCAUAGCCAUGAACCAUAGCCUGCAUUACGUGUUUUUAAAAGCCCUUUUUAAUCAAGCAAGCAAUUUGAACCGAUAAAUGGCGCUCUCAAAAUUUGAAGAGUUUUUCCAUAAGGGUCGUGACUUCAUGAAUUAAGCUAUUGGUUAUUAUGCAUGCUGAUAAAACAAGUUAUAAGAAGAGAAACAACCUUUCUUGAUAAAGCCGGAGUUUUGACUUGAGCAUUUUUGUUUUUUUGAAAUUCAUGCAAAGGUCACCUCAUCAUAGACUAUCAAAUGAUAUACCCAAUAUCAAGGAUUCAAAUUGAUACAAAGAACCAUGGAAAAAGCCAUUUUUAAUCCUACAUUGGGUCAAUUUCUGUUUUCAAAAUGCAUGACAAUCAAAGGACUAUAUAUUUCGAAUAAAAUGUGUUGGGCCUUUGAUCAAAAAGCUUGAUUUUCAAAAGAUUUUCAAAAAAGACAUCUCUGAUUUCAUUUCAACAAACUAGACUUUGAAUAGACAUGAUCUUUGAAAUAUGAGAGUUGAUUCCAGAACAAGGAAGAUUAUCAAACACAGAAGAACAUUGAUUGAGUAUGCAAAAUCGUUGAUAGAAAUGACAUUGAAGUCCUCGACACUCCUUGAAAGGUUGAGCAGCUGGGGGCAAUACAGUAGACCUUGAAAAGGAAAAACAAGUAGUGCUCAGAUCAGCUAUGAGGCAAUGUUUAAAUGAUGAAUCAGUGAACUGAAGACAAUGAUGUUCAAAGACAGAUAAUCAAUGAACGAGCACAUUCAGAUCAUACUGGGGGCAAUGUCAUUCCAAAAUGGCCCAUGCUCUAGUGAACCCUGUCGGCAAUGGAGAAACAAGAUGUACCUGAAGGACACUUUCUAUCAUCAUCUUUUGAAACAUGGCUAGCGAUCGAUGAGGAUACACAGAUGAAUGUAAUUGAAUGGGAAAAGAUGCAUACCACCAAGACUGACUGUGGAACAAUGCUGCACUUAAAGGACAAUCUCAUAUUGUCAUUCUUUGAAACAUGGUUAUAGACAGAUGUUAUCACACAACUGCACUGAAUGAAUGUCGGAAAGGCACCCACCUCGAAGACUGAUUGUGGGACAAUUUUCUGAAGCCAGAUGAGCACUUCACCGCAUGAUAUGGGUGAUAAAAGCGCAUCAUUGAUGAGGCCGAGACAUUUCUUUUCACAAUCUGAUUGAAGAGUUGAAGGGAAUCUAUGAGAAGAACACUGAGCAUACAACCAUGAGCCUUUUACUGCAAGCUAUGAGAUGCAUGUCUGGAUGACUGAUGAGUUCCAAGAAGGCUGAUGAUAACGUACUUGAAGAGUAUGUUUCAACUAGAGGCAAGUUCAUGACUGAUUAACAAUUUGAUGGGUGUUGGCAUGAUGCACACAAUCAAUCAGAGGAUAAUUCUCAGAAGAAGCCAGGAGAGAAAAUCCUUCAUGAUGAAUCAAGCAGUACCACACUUGGGGGCAGGGUCAAGCUUGAUGAACGAUGCAAGCAGUAAUUGUCGAAGACAGCCCGGGAUGGGCACUGCAUUUACAGCUGAGUGGAUGGCUAGCACAUGAAUGAGCCAAUGCAUCGGAAGAACAAAGAAAGCUUUGGGAUACAAACAAGGGCACCCUAUGACGAUGGAGCAUCAAAGAGGGGGGACCUAUUAUUUCAAAUCAGGUAAGGAUGCAUGCAUAUCAUCUAACCUAAAAAAAAAAAAAAAAAAAAAAAAAACCAUUUGCACAUAUUUUUGAAUUGUUACAGGAAAAUCCUUAAUGAGGUCCAGCAAGAUGGUGGAAAGAGAAAGAAGCAUUGUGGUGAUGAUAAUAAAGAAUCGGUUUUGAUCAUGGAAUAAAAGGACGAUGGGAUGAACCCUACCAUUAGGAAAAUCCCAAAGAAAUGAAUAGAUCAACCUUGCAACCGGGAAGCCUCGAGUUUUCAACCCUUGCAGUCAGGAAACACCGAGUUUUCAAACCCAUGAUCGGGAAUUAUCAGGAAGCACCAAGUUUUCCAGCCCUUUCUUCUGUCAUCCCUUCAAACUUCGCCAGGUAAGUCCUAUUUUUCACACACUUCAUUCAUAUUUUUUCCAUCUGGGUAGGUCACCCAUACAAUGAGACCACACUUCAAUUUUUUCCACUGGGUAGGUCACCCAUUACAAUGAGACCGCACUUCACAUUUUUUCCAUCUGGGUAGGUCACCCAUACAAUGAGACCAUCAUUUUUCCAGGGUUCGUCACCCAUACAAUGAGACCAUCAUUUUUCUGGGUUCGUCACCCGUACAAUGAGACCAGCACUAGGGUUCGUCACCCGUACAAUGAGACCAGCACUAGGGUUCGUCACCCGUACAAUGAGACCAGCAGCACUAGGGUUCGUCACCCGUACAAUGAGACCAGUAUUUUUCGAGGGUUAGUCACCCGUACAAUGAGACCAGAAUGAGGUCGCCAGAUGGGAUCUCAUGUAACUUUGGUUAAAGGGAAUCGCCAGAUGGGAUUUCAGGUUAACCGAGUUACACAUAUUUUCGUCCAGUUGAAUGAGGUCGCCAGAUGGGAUCUCAGGUAAACCCAAUGUGUGGGCAGGUCGCCCGUGAAAAUAGACUAUUGGGAGAGUGUGGGUCGGUCGCCCGUGAAAAUAGACUUGAGUGAGUAUGUGUGGGCAGGUCGCCCGUGAAAAUAGACUUGAGUGAGUACGUGUGGGUAGGUCGCCCGUGAAAAUAGACCAGAGUGAGUAUGUGUGGGCAGGUCGCCCAAGAUAAUAAAAUCAUUUUCCGUUUGUUUUCUUUACAAAGCUUACUAUGCAAAAUUUUGAGGAUUUUCGCUUCGUAAGCAUUGUAAAGAGGGGGCAUCUGUUGCUACCCAAUUUUUGACCCAUGUUUUUGAGAUAUUUUCAAAAAAUCCAAAAAAUAGAGAAAAACAAUGAAAAGCAAAAAAUAUGUUUGUUAAUAUAUUUUUGUCAUUUUAGCAUUUUCAACGUCGUCUAAAAAAGAAUUUAAAUUGUUAAAAGAUUUUCAAACGCGUUCGACUUUUCACGCGUCAUUUUUAAAUCAUUGAUUUUCCGCAUUUGAGUCGACGUUGAUAUUGCUCGUUUGCAAAAAAUACAAAAAAAUAAGAAAAAAUCAAAAUUUACAAAAAAAGAAAGAAGUUGAGGGACCAAGUUGAAAAACUUGGCAACAUUUUUUGCCUAUAAAUACUGGUUUCCAACUCUUUCAAAGGGGGGGGGCAAUUUUGAAAUAUCAUAAAAUACAAAAAAAAUAACCUAACCCUAAACCUAUCUCAACCAAGCCUGCAGCCCCCCUUCUCCCCUGGUUUGAAUUUUUUUUCCACAGCCGCCGGCCACAAACCGAAGCCAAACAGCCCUUCCCUCAGCUUCUACCCACGCUGUUCCCCCAUAUUUUUCACCUUAACCAGAAACCGGUCACCGAGACCUUCCCCUCUCCCUGCACAAAAGGAAAACACAAACCCAAAGCAGCCCCUCCCCCGGGCUAAAAUUUUUUUUCUCCAACCGUCGGCCAAGACUUGGCUCCCCAUUUUUCCAACGUUCCAGACUUCCCCCCCCGAAGGCUCUGAUUUUUUUUUUCCUUCUUCUGGCCGGCCAAGAGCUUGGCUCUAGGAGCCCAAACAGUCCCCCCUCAAUUUCUUUUCCUACCGCCACCAGAGAACCAGCCAUCGCCGAUCUCCCUUCCUCAUCCCCACAGCAGCAGGCGAUCUUCCAUCUUCAACCGGUCAGCAGCAGGCGCCUCCACCAAGCCACACCGCAGCAGACGCCUCCACCGAGCCACACAGCAGCAGAGUCUCCACCCGAAGAAACAGAUCCACCAGCCACUUGAAACAGGUCCAGCAGUGACGUCUCCACCUCCAGCGUCCUCCCCUCUCUCGGCCAACCCAGCUUCAACAGUACCGACCGACCAGCCACAGCAGCACCGCCCGAAACAGAGGAGGAGGAGAAGACACCCACCACCGUAGCUGGGCAUCACCGGAUCUGCAACCAGACGCAGAUCUGCAAAAGAAAACAGAUCUAAGAAAUGAAACAAACAAAUUAAAAUCAACUGCCUGUGUUGUUUUUGGGUUCUUUGCAGGUCGUCGCCGGCGUUGGGAGGCUGAGAAGAAGAAGUCGAUCAAGCCCCCUGCUGCGGUUUUUUUUUCCGGUAGCGCGUGAACCCACGCGCCGCCAGUGGCGGGGGCGUGGGAAGACGCGCCGGAACUGUUCAUGCGGGUGCAGAAGUCCUUCCCUGCAAUUUCGGGAGUUUUGAGGGACCAUUUUGUAAAUUUUAAAGUUUUAAUGUAAUUUUUGUUUAUUUAUUUUAAAUUUGUAAUAUGUGAAUGUAAAAGAAAAAGAAGAAAAGAAAAGAAAAUAAUAAUAACAAAGGGGAUGUGUGUGUUGGUGUAUUUUUAUUUAUUUAUUUUGAAUUUGAAUUUGAAUUUGUAUUUGUAUUUGUAUUUGUAUUUGUAUUGUUGAUGUAAAAGAAAAGGAAAAAGAAAAGAAAAAGAAAAGAAAUGAAAAUAGUGAAUGUGUGUGUUUGUAUUUUGUUUUACUUAUUUGUAUAUAUAUAUAUAUAUAUAUAUAUAUAUAUAUAUAUAUAUUAGGAUAAAAUUGCAAAUAUAUUAAAGAAGAAUUUAAUAUUUUGAUCGGAUCACGGUUAAGAAUUAUUAACUUAUACGUAAGUGAUAUUUCUAAUUUCCGAUGAAAAGACAAUUAUUAAAACUUCUUUAACACGUCAAAUCCACGAAGCAGCUUACCUCAGGUAGGGUGCGUUAGGGGUGCUAAUACCUUCCCUAACCACAACCAGUCCCUUACCCGCGAAUCUCUGACAAGACCAGUACAUCCGGUUUCCUAGUAGCCCGAAAUCAAUUACUAGGUGGCGACUCCAACGAACCAAAUUCAAGCAAACAACAACGAGACGAAAAAUCGCCAGCCAAUGCCGCGCGCUGAUUGAUUUUUUAGGGUGCGACAGUUUAGAUAAUAGAAUGAUGAAGUAUUAAAAUUAAACCUCGGGAGCACCAAAUUUUCUAGAGAAAAAUAGUCUAAAUAAAAUGAGCUGCUAGGGUCAAAGCUAGGCUUGACUUGGGUUUGUAUAUACUAUUAAAAAUGUUAUUAAUAUAAUUGUGCAUGCUUAUAAAUCUUUUGUUUGUUAAUUUGUUUAGCAUUCUAUAGGUGCUAAACAAUUGUUUUAUUUGUUUCAUAGCUGCUUUUGAGAAACCAUCAAAAUAGAAAAUAAUCAUAACUUCAUAUCUUCAUAUCGUGAUGUAAUUAUCUUAAUUAAUAUUGCUUUGGCAAUUAUUAUUUUGAUAAGAAAGAUUCUACAAUCAACUUGUUUAGUGCAUGCUGAAAAAUAUGAAAAGUUUAAGAGCGGGUAGCAAAAAUUGAUAUUCUAUCUAAUCAUCUUGAACUUAGCAAAAUUCUUGACUAAAUAAAUGUCAAAACUGUUAGAUAAUGAAUAUAAUCCCACCAUUGUGGUAAGUGUUGAUGCUUGGAAUCAUAACUAUUUUGUAUGCAAAAAAAAUAUUUUGAAUGGAUUAGAUAAUGAAUUAUAUAAUGUGAAUAUUUAAAUCAAGAGUGUAAAAAUAUUAUAGGAAGCUUUGGAUAAAAAAAUACAAGGUUGUUGAUGUUGUUAUGAAAACAUUCAUAGUAAAAAAAAUCUUUUGGAUUUUAAGAUAGUUUAUUAAAAGACCAUUAUAAGCAAAGUUUAAAAGUUUCAAAUCAUCUUCCAUGAUAUUCUUGUUGAAGAUAUGGUUGUAAAUAAGACUUCCUAAGUAGUUGUAAUUAUUGAAAAGUUUUCAUAUAUUGGAAAGACUUUAAGAAUAACAUUGCUCAAGAAAAUAAAAGUUGUAGACUUUAUUUUGAUAUUAAGGAUAUAAGAGGAAAAUAAAUGACCUAAAAGAUAAGCCAACUCUUAUGGUAUGACCCCUAAAGAAAACAUUGUAAAACAAGUGGUAAAGUCCAACAAAAAAAAAAUCUUGUUGUAAAGAGAAAAUAAAUUGCUAAGAAGUUCAAUGGUAAAUUCUGCAUCUAUAACAAGAUUGAACAUUUGGCUAGGGAUUGCAAAAAUAGAGCUCAACAAGGAACCCUAAAAAGAAAAGGAUUACUCAAGCUAAUAUCAUCGAGGAUGAUCAACUCACUAAUGAAGUUUUGAAAAUGAUGUCAACCAUAUCAAGAAUUCCAAGCAAUGAUGGAUUAAUAUUGGUGUAACAAGACAUUUAUGCACCAAGAAUAUGAUGUUUUUCACUUACAAAUAAGUGGAUGGUGAACACUUGGACAUGAACAAUUUAUCAACUCCCAGUGUACUAGGUAGAGAACUAUGUAAAUAUUAUUGUCUUGAUUUAUAUAAAAAACUGAAUAGUUUAAAAUAUUGUGUUUACUAUUUAGACAACUACAUUAGAUAGUAUUUUACUAAAAAAUAUUCAUAGCCAAAAUCCACCUAUCAUAAGUAAUGACCCUCCAAAUUAGUAUCUCUUAUGAAUCUUUGAUUCUUUUAUACCUGUCAGAUAAUUUCUAUUCAUGUGAAGGAUUGUUAAAAAAUAUUUUUGAAACCAUUGUUAAUUGGCACUUUUGAGGCCAAAUUAAAAACGAAGUCUACUGACUUUUAGAGUUAAGACUUUAUUGAAAUUUAUUAUUCAACAAAAGCUCUUUAACAUAUUAUAUAAAAAUUAUUAAAAUAAAUUAUGGGCGACUAAGAAAUUAAUCUCAAAUAGACCUUUCAUUGGCAUGUUUUGGGAAACCUAAAACCCUCUAUCAAAUAUAGAAAAGAAACAAGAUUUUCUUGUAGUUUAUAUAGUAGGAAGAUAAAGAGUUUGAAUUAGUCCCAAAUGGCACAAAAGCUUUUAUAAAAAAGGAGCUAAGCAAAGUGAAUUUUGAACUUCAGUCAUACAAGCACGCUCACUUGGAUCAGCUCGCACUUGAGCCUCAAGCUAGGCUUAGGCUUAUGUAGAAUCCUCUUUCUCCGGUGAAAUCAUAUGACAUGGUCUGGUCCAAUCUCUGACUCCUCGAUUAGGAAUAGUUUUUACUACAAAGAAUUAUUUUUUUUCCAAUCUAUUUUUGGCUAGGGCUUGAGUUUGUAUGAAGAUUCAUUUAAUUAAUCUUGAGGUAAAUUUUGGCUUGGGUUUGAGUUUAUAUUUAUUUGGCCUAUAAAAGAAUUAUUUUUUGCCAACCCAUUAGUUUUUCUAGCCUAUGAAUAAAGAGUCUGAAUAAUUUCUUUAAACUAGACAGUUUUUUCAUCCUAGAUAAUUUUUAUUCAAACAAAACAUCAAUUUUAAAGCAAGAGUAUUUAUGGACAAUUUAUGGACAAACUUUUUAUAGAUUUGUUUUUACGCUUUUUCACCUUUUUUUCAUUUUGUUUUCCUUUGUUUUAAUCUCAAAUUUGUUUUAAUUUUCCAUCUACUUUAAAACUCAAGUUUUGUCUUUGUAAAGAGAUAUUUCAGUAAAAUUUCUUUAAGUUUAUGAACUUUGUUUAGAAGUGAAACUAAAUAAGAUGAUGUUAUUGAAAUCUUAGAAGACUGGUUGAGAUUAGUCCAUUUGAACCAAGAAAUGAGAAAUACAUCCUCGAGAACAAAUAAUUGAUCAUGAUAAAAAAAUAUUUAGCUUAAUCAAUUUCUAAUUGCUUCAACAAGUAUUUAUAUAUAUUGUUUUGUUUAAAUACAAAAUUCAAUAUAUACUUACUAUGCAUGCUAGGAUUUUAUUUUAAUAUCUUAUGCAAGUUUCAUUAUAUAUUUAAUAUGCGUGCUAGCAUUUUAUUUUAAUUGCAAGUUUACAUUGAUUAUAUAAAUUUCAUGCAUAUAGAUUAAACUUUUAUGAUCAUCAGUCUAACCUUUGAAAAAAAAAAAGAGCACAUAAAAUCACACAGGAUAACAACAUUUUUUUUAAAAGAGAGAGAGAGAGAUAAAUUUUUCUAUUUUUAUAUAUUAAAGAAGUAAAUUAAAUAAGGUCAAAGAAAAUCAUCUAAUAAAAUAAAUAUCUUUUCGUUUUAGUUUGAAAAUAAGCUAAUAAAGUCAUGUGUAACAAAGUUGAAGGGAGCUCAAACCAUAUAAAAUAAAAUCAUUUUCUUAGAGAUAUUUAUGGUGCACGUAUAUCAAUUUGGCCAUAUAUUUAAUAAAUAAGAGUAAAAUUCAAUAAUGUUGGUCAUGUAAGAAAAAUUAUUGUGUUAUAUAAGAUUGAAGUUGAAACAAUCUAUUAAUUCAUUGAAGAAAGAAAUAUUAACAAAACAGGGUUUUAGACAAAAUGCUUUAGGAGUAGCAUUUUUUUUUAAUGAUGUUUUUUAAUAAUCCCAAAUCUAUGUUUCUGGAAUUAAGAGCUAGAGCUGGUCUUCGAAAUUAACGAUUUAUAGAUAGCCUCGCAUCACCCUUUGGGGUUUGGAUAAGCUAACAUCGUGCAUCCUCUUAUAAACAAUGAAGUUAUAUAGUAACAAAGUUCAUUGACUAUAUAAUUGAUGUGCGAAUCUCUAUGCUCAAGAAAAAUUAUGUGGGAUUCUAGUGGAAAUCAAUUCUAAGCAACAGCCUUUGGAUGUGAUUAUUAGAUGUCACAAUAUCUUUCAUAAGAGAUAAUUAUCAUUUUCUAUAUAUAAUAUAUAUAUAUAUAAAGUGCAUCAUUCCGAAAGCUUCUUUUUUUUUUUUUUACAUGAGAGAAUACGUGCUUAUAGUGUGCUCUUUCUUUAUAAAGAUUAUCAAGGACAAAAAAAAAUAAUUCAUUGAGCUAAUUUUUUUCUUAAAAAUCCCAAGAAUCGAUAUAAAUUUUUUGUCGGUCACCCAUGAAUUUGUCAGUGUGGAAAUUAGUGAUAUAUAUUGUCGGAGAUCAUUCAGUCAGUAAUCCCUGACAAAGACUCCGAAACAUUUUAGAACCGCAAAACGAAGAAACGAAAAAAUUGAGAGUAAAUGUAGGAUAUGAUCAUGGGACGUCUAGUCAUGGCAUCGCGACAGCAACCCCUCGAAAUUGACUCCUUAUCCGUUUUACUAGUGGUUGCUACUUGCUAGGGAGCCAAGGAUAAAAACUCUGCAACUUCAAAAGCUUAUUAGCUCAGUUUUUAAAUUUAUCUUUUAAUAUUUAUAUUUGUAAGAUUAGUUGAAUGGUAUAUAAACUAGAUAUUCAUAUUAAUUUUUUUAUAAAAAAAAAACUCUGCCAAAGCUUAUUGUAUAUGACUACUUAUUUUAAAACAAUAAUUUUCAACUUCUACAAUAACAUAUCCACUAAAAAAAAAAAAUGUGAUUUCUUAGUAUGAUUAAACUUUUCUAAUUUUUUUAAAAAACAAAACAAAUACCUCGAUUUUGCAUGGGAAACUAAGUUUUGUACUAAAAAAAUCAUCCCCAAUCAGUUUAAAAUAUCAAAUAAAAAAACCUGAAUUAUAGUUUAAAAUCAUUUCCAAAUCAUUUGGCUGAACACUUAUAUUAAUUAAAAAUAAAAUAUUAAAUAAUAAAACCUCAUGUUUUCAGCUUAUAUAAACUGAAAAGAACUAAGAUAUCUUUUUUUAUUAUUAUUAUUAUUGUAUGAAUAAAGCCUCAGAUAUCAUCGACGACGAGUUUUCUCUCUUCAUCCGACGUGGGAUCCCAUGAAAAUAAUAUCUUCAACCAUAUUCACUCUGAGCAAGUAAAUAUAUAAACUUAAGAUUAUCCAUCCAGCUCUCUCCUCACCAUUCAUAGGCCGCUCACGAGAUUCCAUUUCUAUCCAUUACAGUAAUCGAAACGUGAAAACCACCUCGUUAUGCUCCACGUGGUUUGGAAUGUCAUAAAUAGUUGUACUUUGAAGCGGAUAGAAAGAGACAUUACAAUCGAAACAAGCUGCCAAAAACCCAGAGGCCCCUCAGCAUCUGUUCCCAUAGCCUUUUCUCCACGUAUUUUUUGACCCUUUGAUUCCGACAACAUGAAAAUACAGCCCUCUAAAGAUUGUUAGAGAUUUCCAGAUGAGCAUGAACUAUUUCAGACAACGAAAUGGAUGCCUGCUUCACAUAUGUAGCAUUGCCCGUCCAUAAAAAAAUGAAAACGAAUUAAAUGGUCUUUCUAAAUCAUAUUUUUCAGUGUUGUUUCAUGUUCUAAACUAAAACUAUUCUUUUAUGUUAUUGUUUCGUCGACAGAUUUUAAUGAUAACAAAAUAUAUAUAUAUAUAUAUAUGAUUUUACAAGGACCAAAAAUCCAAAUUUAAUUAUUUGAGAUACGAGCCUUGCACUGAGAAUGUGCUUAUAUCGUAAACUCAAUAUGGACUUUAAUGCUUAUAUCGUAAACAACUUGCUAUUAAUAUGUCUUAUCAUUUUUAUCUUAUUAAUUCUUAAUACAUUGCUUGUUAAAUGGUUAAUCUAGAUUUGUGUUGUAUAACACUUGGUACAACAAAUGCUUUGUACUUUCAUAGCCCAACCGUAUGGUAUAACCUACACUUGUGCUAUGUAAGGAACUUGAUUUGUUGUUAACAUAAGUUAGCAUCAUGAAUUCCUAACAAUAUUUAAAAGUUUGAUGUUACUUAAAUAAGAUAAUUAAUAUGAUCAUGUUAACAAUUUGUAAUGUACUAUUAGUGACAAAUCAUCCGACUGGAACCUUCUUUGUGUGUAGUUUUUAGUUGAGUAAUAAAAAGAGUUUAUAUUAUACUUGUUUGAAAUACCAUUAGUGGAUCCUCUAACCUUGACAUUUGUUUUUAUCAUUGUUUAAUCCUCACAUUAACCAAACAUCUCAAAGUCCUUUUUAACUUAUUAUUAAUAUUAUUAUUAUUAUAGUUAACCUCACUGUGGUUCGACCCCGGUCUUGCCAGAUUAUUUAUUACUUCGACACUCCUAUACUUGGGAGAAGACAUCAAUCUUUUGGUCGUGUCACACAUUUCUUUCUUUUCAUACAUGUAUAUAUAAAGGUAGGAAAAUGUGUUUUUACAUGGGUGAAAGUAAGGGGUGAGAUGUUUUAAGCAAUUGUUUUUAUUUUAGUCUAUUUGGGACAUGGCCCAAAUGGAUUUUUUUUUAUGUCAGCUUGUUUAGGUCAUAGCCCAAACAUAUAUAUUUUUUAAUGUGCACCAUCAUAUACACCACUAAGUCUUUCAGAUGGACAUGUUUAAAAGACUUAACUAGUAGAAGUGGAGGAAGAAAAUACUUAAGAUAUAAAUUUUACCUGAUGUGGACAAGAGAAUGUUACCAUGCUAGAUAUUAUAGAAUGUAUAUCAUGUAUAUCUAUACAUAGGAUAUUAAUGUAGGAUUAAUUCAAUGUUGUAAUCCCUACAGUUACUACCGUAUUCUGCCCUACAUAUAUAAAUAGGAAAGGUUGGCUAAGGCCAAACCUAAGACAUUCAGUUAUUCUCAACUUGGUAUCAGAGCCCUAAAUAAACUAAAACACUUCUUCUCCUCUCUGCAAUGGAUCCUUCUCAGCCGGUAGCCAUCUCCUCCUCUGCAGCAGCACUGGUUGUCCCAUCCUGCACUCUUGCCGCAGGACAAUUUUCUUCUUCAGCCGCAGGACAGCUUUCUUCUUCAACCUCAGUUCUGCAGUGGCCACAACAUACUAAUAUUGGCCAUGCUCUUCUCAAUCCGGACAAUGCUCCUCUGCUGCCAUCUUCGUCUGCUGAAGCCACAGCAACCUCUGUCGUGGCAAUUGUGUCCCUCUCCCACACUCAUCAGGUCAUCUCUCUGAAAUUAACAAACACCAAUUAUUUAUAUUGGUGAAUGCAGAUGAAACCAUAUCUCUUAGGCCAAGGAGUUUUCAGCUUUGUUGAUGGUUCAAACUCCUGCCCCUCUCCACAUAUUCUUGCUGCCGAUGGUGCUACUCUUCAGGUAUCUCAAUCCUUUCUUCGUUGGAAACAACAUGAUCAACUAAUUCUAAGUGCCUUGCUCUCUUCGCUAUCCAUGAAAGUUCUUCAUCUUGUUGUUGAUUGUCUAACCUCAUGUUCUGCCUGGCUCACACUUGAGCAAGCUCUAGCGUCUACAUCCAAUUCCCGUAUUAUGCAACUACAUGGCUCUCUUCAAGACCUUCGACAAGGUGAUGAUUCGGUAACUCAAUUUUUUCAAAAAGCUAAGACUUUAUUUGAUGAGCUAGCAGCUGCUGCCCGGCCUAUCUCGCUAACCGAUUUUAAUCUCUAUGUGUUUCGUGGCCUUCGCGGAGAAUUUAAGGACUUAGUAACAAGUCUUAUUACAAGGGCAGAUCCUCUACCAUAUGCAGAUUUGCUUAGUCAUCUGCUAACUCAUGAAUUUAUUCAUAAAUCCUCUCAUUUGUCUAUGGGAUCUGCUGCCAUUCACGCACCAUUGCUGCCCACGCCAAACAUCCCACCUUCAGCACUACUUUCUCAACGUCAGCCUUCUGCUCAGUUUGGACGAAAUAGGGGGCGUUCUUAUGGCAGCUGGCGUCCUCCACAAACCUCUCACAGAGGGUUUCGAAAUACUGGCUCCAGGUCUGAUUUUCAUAACUUCCAAAACACUUACAAUUCUGCAGCUGGCAACGAAAAUAGACACAGCAGCUGGCAAGGAAAUUGGCAGCGCCGAGGAUCCAAUUCCCGCUGCCAGUUAUGUCAGGCCUUCGGACACACUGCUCCUCAGUGUUCCCAACUUCAGCAACGUAGCUAUGGACAGCAACAUAGUGCCAAUUUGGCAUUCCAUAAUUCUGCAGGUACUGCUGAAUGGUUUCCGGACACCGGUGCAAACCAACACGUCACACCCGACCUUGCAACCUUGACUGCUUCAGAACCAUACAAUGGUAAUGAUAAUUUGCAUGUUGGUGAUGGUAAGGGACUUUCCAUAUCUAAUAUUGGCCAUACAAAAAUAUAUAACCCACAUCGUUCGUUCACUUUAUCUAAUGUUCUACAUGUUCCUGCAAUCACGAAACCUCUGCUUUCUGUUCAGAAAUUUUGUCUCGAUAAUAAUGUUUAUUUUGAAUUUCACCCUUUUCUAUUUUAUGUCAAGGAUCGCAACACCAAUGAAGUACUUCUCUCAGGUCAGAGUAAAGAUGGUCUCUAUACUUUGUCCAAGUUCAGGUCUUCCGUCCUGUCAAUUCCUCAAGCCUAUUGGUCUCCCUGCACCUCUGCCUCUGCUGAUUUGUGGCAUCGUCACCUAGGUCAUCCUACCUCCCGCAUUUUUAAACUUUUAGUCUCGAAAAAUAAGAUCAUUUAUAACAACAAAAGUCUUAAUUUUCAAUGUCAAAGUUGUCCCUUAGGAAAAUCGUCGCGUUUGUCUUUACGACCUACUGGUCACAAAACUUCUGCUCCGCUUGAAUUAAUUUUUAGUGAUGUGUGGGGUCCUGCUCCCCUUUUUUCUUCGGAUGGUUAUCGUUAUUUUGUUAUAUUUGUUGAUGCGCACACAAAAUAUAUAUGGUAUUAUCCACUUGUUGCAAAAUCUGAUGUUUAUUCUGUCUUUCAUCAAUUUCAAACUCUUGUCGAACAUCAGUUUUCUUUAAAAAUAAAAUCUGUUCAAACUGAUUGGGGCGGUGAGUAUCGCAAACUCUCCACUUUCUUCCAGACAAUUGGUAUUCAUCACCGUCUGAUAUGUCCACAUACUCACGAAGAAAAUGGGAUGGUAGAAAGACGUCAUAGGCAUAUUGUGGAAACCGGUCUUACUCUUCUAGGUCAAUGUAAAGCUCCUUUUCGUUUUUGGAAUUAUGCAUUUGAUACUUUGGUUUAUCUCAUUAAUCGUAUGCCUACUCUUGUUCUUGAUAAUCGAUCUCCUUUUGAUUGUUUGUUUCAACGGUCUCCUGAUUAUCAAUUUUUACGUACUUUUGGAUGUCUAUGUUUUCCUUUCUUGCGUCCCUAUAAUAAUCACAAAUUGGAUUUUCGGUCUUCUCCUUGUGUAUUUUUUGGCUACAGUCCCUCUCACCUUGGUUAUAGAUAUUUUGAUAUUGAAUCUCAUCGCAUGUAUAUCUCCCGUCAUGAAAAUGUUUUUUCGUUUGAUAAAUCUGAACAGAUUGCACAGGUUUCCACUCAAACCCAUACACCAUCUCCUAUUACCAUCCUCCCAAAUCUAACCCACUCACCACUGUUUACAGCUCAAAACCCAUCCCAACCCGCCUCUGCCUCUGCCCUGCCCUCACUGCCGACUCAAACACCACAGCCUCCAUAUUUCCCUUGCCGCUCACCCCAUGCAUCUUUAUCUAACCAUAUUGUUGCAGAUACAGGUUGCAGCUCAGUGUUUCCUGCUCUCCAGCACGAAGUCCUUGCGAAUAGUGGGAGAUCCUCUGGUUCGUCUUCAGCUUCUCUUUAUUCUGCCACUAACCCGGUUUCUGCAGACUCUGCCUCUACUGCCAGCUCUCCACUUGCGGCAGCCUCUUCCCCGGAUUCGUCUCCUGGACUGAAUCUGGUGGUGGAUCUCUCAGCCUAUCCACUGCAUCAUGACACCUCUGUCAUGCCUCCUUCACCUGCGUCACAGCCAGUGCUCAGCCGACACCCUAUGAUCCUUCGAUCACGACAGCCUAAAAAUGCCAAUAUGGUGUCCUCUGCUGCCGCUAAUGCAGCUGCCACUCGGGUAUUGCUCUCUCCUUCCUCUGAACCUGUUGCCUUUUCUGAUGCAGAUAAAUAUGUGGCUUGGCAUGAUGCCAUGUGUGAUGAGAUCAAGGCUUUACGAUCCAAUCAUACUUGGUCUCUAGUGCCCUUUCAUCCAUCGAUGAAUGUUGUGGGCAGCCGAUGGGUAUAUCGCAUCAAACGUCGUGUUGAUGGCAGCAUCGAACGUUAUAAAGCCCGUCUAGUUGCUAGAGGCUUUACUCAACAGGAAGGCAUUGAUUAUUCUGAAACUUUCAGCCCAGUUAUUAAGCAGGCCACCGUCAGAUUAGUCUUUUCCAUUGCAGUUUCCCGCAAUUGGAAGAUUCAUCAGCUUGAUAUUCAUAAUGCCUUUCUCAAUGGUGUUCUUACUGAAGAGGUCUACAUGAAACAACCUCCAGGUUUUGUUGAUCCUACUCUUCCAUCUCAUGUGUGCAGGUUGCACAAGUCACUAUAUGGUUUAAAACAGGCACCAAGGGCAUGGUACACUCGUCUGAGUGAUUUUUUACUCUCUAUUGGUUUCCUUGCCUCCAAGGUUGACACUUCCCUGUUUAUCUUAUCUGAUGGCACUAAUAUCUUCUAUCUUCUCGUCUAUGUUGAUGAUAUUCUGCUUACAGGCAGCAACUCUGCCAUGCUCCAUCAUCUAGUCCAGUUACUAAGCUCUGAAUUCAAGCUUCGUGACUUAGGUGAUGUUCACUACUUUCUAGGUAUUGAAGUUCAGUCUACAGGUAUGGGUCUGAUGUUGCGCCAACAAAAAUAUAUUCUUGACAUCCUCACUCGGGCUGGUAUGACUUCCUGCAAACCAGUUGACACUCCAGUUUCUCCCUCUAAACUUGCUCUACAGCCGAAUCAUCCAUUUUCUGAUCCCACACGGUUUCGUCAAAUUGUGGGUGCUCUUCAGUAUCUUACAUUCACUCGCCCAGAUAUCUGCUUUGCUGUUAACAGAGUCUGUCAGUACAUGCAUGCUCCUACAGAUUCCCAUUGGGCUGCUGUUAAAUGCAUACUCCGCUAUCUCAAAGGAACGGCAUCUUAUGGUUUUCAUAUCACUCGAGGUACCUCUUUUGCUCUUCAUGGUUUUACAGAUGCCGAUUGGGCUGGGAGUAUUGAUGAUCGCAAGUCUACGGGUGGUUAUCUUGUUUUCUUUGGUCAAACACCGAUUUCAUUGAAAUCCGGCAAGCAACGUACAGUUGCUAGCUCUUCCACUGAGGCUGAGUAUAAAGCCUUAGCAGAUGGUACUGUUGAGGUCAUCUGGCUUCAAUAUUUGUUAACAGAUCUUCAGGUUCCCUCCAUCUCGGCUCCUACUAUUUGGUGUGAUAAUCUUGGUGUUACUUAUCUCUCGGCAAAUCCUAUCUUUCAUGCUCGUACUAAGCAUGUUGAGGUAGACUAUCAUUUUGUCCGUGACCGGGUAGCAAAGAAGGAAAUUCAGAUUCGGUUUAUCCCCUCUCAGGAUCAACUUGCUGAUGUCUUCACCAAACCACUUUCCGCUGCGUCCUUUAUUGCUUUCAGGUUCAAGCUUCGGGUCGAUCCUCCACCCUCAGCUUGAGGGGGCAUAUUAUAGAAUGUAUAUCAUGUAUAUCUAUACAUAGGAUAUUAAUGUAGGAUUAAUCCAAUGUUGUAAUCCCUAAUUCUGCCCUACAUAUAUAAAUAGGAAAGGUUGGCUAAGGCCAAACCUAAGACAUUCAGUUAUUCUCAACUCUAGACAUUUGAAUGUUUACCUAUUUGUGUCUUAUGAAGUGUCUGCAUGAAAGCUUUCUUCAUGUAAAUUUCUGAUAAUAUUAUUUUGAAAAGAAUCUUUAAUCCUUUUAAAGAUUAGUAAUCGUGGAGACCUGAAUAAGGAUCCUUAAUCAUUUUGGAGACAUUCGAGACAUAUAAAGAGAUUUAAUUAAGAUAUAUUUAAAGAUAUAAAGAUUUAGCAUAUAGAUUUUUCAUAGAGACAUUUAUAUAUGGGGAUAAAAGAUCUCGCUGUAAAGAUUUUCAUAGAGAUAUAUUUAGAGAUUUUAAUGUAGAUUUUUUUUAAAGACAUUGGAGAUACGAAGAAAAAUCAUUGUUUUUAUUAAAGAUUUGAAAAGAUGGAGAUAUAAUUCCUAGGGCUAAUUCGAGGAUUAUUUAACAUAAGGUAAAUCAGUGUGCAAACUUUCGUCCUUUUAUUCUGAGGUUUUGUUUCCUUUUUCAUGAACUGGUGAAAAUAACUUUUGAUGAUCAAUUUUUCUAUCUUUGUUUUCAAGGCAUGACAUUCUUUAGUAUCAUGCCCUUGAUCAUGAUAUAAAAAAAAAGGGUUAAAUUUAUUAGUGUUCCUUGUGUUUGCAUAAUUUUUAAUGGGAUAAGGAUAUUGUAUAAAUUAUUUCCCUCCAUUAACAGCUGACAUUUCAGUCUGUGUGCUGGUUAGAGAGGUAGUCAAGAGCUUAGAGAAUAUCAAACGAUAAUAAAUGUGUCAUUUGGUGCUCAUUUUAGAUAAUCUAGUUAGAAACUAAUGAUGUUGAGUAUACUAUUUACAUUGACUUCUUCCAUCCUAAUAGAAUUUUUCAUUCACUAUUUAAUCAAAGUUAUAAAGCAUAUUAAUCAAAGAUUCUCUGAAAAAUAGAUUUAACGAGUCUUUCCACGUUGAAUAUUUCCUCUUUUGACAUUUGGAGAUAGGUCAUAGUGCUCACAUCUUCUCUAUAUAUGAUAGAGAAGAUUUCAAUGGUGUUAUUUUUAGUAUUUAUAUGAUACCAUACACAAGCAUAUCCAUGUUGCGUUGUUUGAAAAACUUUACACGAUGCAUCAUUAUUUUAUAUGACAAGCUCUAUGAUACUUCUCAUAUAUGUAUUCUUAAUAUCCUGAGCUUGUUGAGAUUUUCCCAUACAACUGAUUGAGUCAUUUUUCUUUGUAUUAUGCUUAACUUUCAUUCUUAUACGUGUCAUGGAAAUUAUGGUGCAGUUGCACUUUCAUUUUGUAACAUAUAAUAAGAUCUAGCAUGACAAAAACUGCAAGCAUAAGUACGCCCAUAUAUUUCAUCAAAAAAGGAACGUACAUGUGGAUGAUAUACACCCAAGUUUAUUUAAAUUAGGAGGCCAUAUAAUUUAUUCUAGUACAGUAGGGCAUCCUUUUUUAUCAUACAACUCAAAAGACUCACGAGGACAUUCAUCAUCUCAUCACUCACAAGCAAGUCGUGGCGUAGGAAUUGAAUUAAUGAACUUGGUGGCAGCAAGCAUGGCGUUGUAGGAGGCUAAAUAGCUAAUUCCUGAGUUUGAACUUGUUUCACCAGCUAUAUUUGAAACACCUUGGAACACCACGAAGAGCUUUUCAUUUGACAUAGAUGUCUGCAAAUUGGGACACAAACAAAUUCGUUAACCAAAUUAAUCAUGCGUAGCUUCCUAGCUAAAAGGCAUCUCUAGAAGAAGAAGAAGAAACACAAACUUUUGAGCUCGUAGAAGGUUUUUUUACUAACCAAAGCUACAGAAGCACUUGCUGUAUCGGCAGUUUUUGCAUCAAAAUUUUUGUUAAGGAAGUCUCCGUAUGCUUUGUUUCGAACGUAAAAAUCAGAAGUAGAACCCUUGGAUCCGAAGACAACUUUGGGUUUUCCGGGCAGGCAUUUAUCAGAAUAACAUUCUCUUAACUUCAUAUCCUGCAAUGAAUAAUCAAUUAAUUAUUGUAGUUAAUCCACUUGAAAAUUCAAAGAUAUAUAUAUUCAUGGUCUCAAUAAUAUCAUUAUAGGCUUAGCGAUAGUUUUAAUGGCAAUGAAGAAGAAACAUGCAGCUAAUUCAGCUGAAUAUUCUGAGAUUGACAAACCUUGAGCUUAUUAGUGGCAGCUUCAUACCAGGAUGCGGUGAUGGGAAGCCAGAAAACUUCCUUGGGUGCUUCACUUGGAGUGAACAUGUUAAUUUUCUCAUACUCUACAGUCCCCAACAAGUUCUCUCCAUUCUCUGGAUAAUUGAAGUCUCCAAAUACCAGAUGACCUUUCUCCUCCGCUCCGAAUUUCUGCAUGAUAUAGAAUUGAUUACGUAGUAUUAAUUAGUCCCAACACCACUGCUGAUAUACAAUGUAAGAACUUUUUGAUUUUUAUGGAUUAUUCUUGUUAUUUGUCAAGAUUAUAAUAUAUCAUUGUUUUCUUAUUAGCUAUAUAUUAUACUAUAUCACUGUCACUAUGUCAGAUAUGAUGUACGUCUUUAAAAUAAAAUUUAAAAAAUCAACUUUUAAAACAAAAAUAGAAAAUGAAAACCAUAAAUAAUAGCAAAGGCCCUACGCACCUUCCAGUUCCAAACUCCGGUGAAGGCAACAGCCUGCGGCACAGAAACAUCACCUGGAACCAUUGUUUUCUUAUCCAAGCUUCCAGCGUUCCCAAAAUAGAUGACUCCGUGAAUUUGGAAUCUAGCUAAAAGGAUUUGCAAAGCUGUUGCCAUAUUUACCUGUCAUAAAACAAUUAUUUAAGACACGAAAGAUGCAAGUUUCUUUCGUUAAAAAUAAACAAAUUAAGGUAGAGUUAGUCUUACUGAAGCCCUCCCUGUCUUGACAUAUACAAUAGAAGAACCGUUGAGUGUCCCGCUAUGGAACCUUCUGCCCGCAAUGUCAACAGAGGAGUCUUCACUGUCAGGGCUAUAGAGUCCGGAGUCUUUCAGAGCCCUUUCGUUGACAUCAGAGGUAAAAACUAGCCCUAAGCGGAGGUGUGCGACUUUGCAAUUGCUUUUCUCGAUCUCAGCAAUGGAGUCUAUCAAACUCGCUUGCAUGGACUGCUGUGGCAUAACCAGCAGCAGCCCAAGCAACAGCAGUGCUGCCAAAUUGACUCUAGACAUUCUAUGGAGCUCAAGUGUUA